UGAACAACAAUUAGUUUAAUAAUACGAAAAAAAGAAAAACCCUAAAAAAGUGUUUGAGAAUUGUUUUGUACACAAAUGACAAACACAUAUAUAUAUAUAUAUAGAAAACAGCGGGUGAGAUGAGAGCUUGAGGGGUGAAAAGAAGUCGAUGAGGUGCAAGCGUGUGGGUUCGUUCUACCAAACGUGCAAUUCGUGCCCUUUCUUUUAUUUCUUUCUUUUAAAAAAGAAAAAGAAAAAUGAUUUUGCAUUCCAAAAUGUGUCGGCCGAGUUUCGCGUCGUUUUCCCAAAAGGCCCUUUUCCACAUUUGCAUCCUCUCUUUUAAUUUGAAACGAAAGGGGUAUUUUUCCUUCACCAUAUGUCCCUUUCCCUUCUCUUUCCAUUUAAUUCACUUCAUCAAUCCAUAUAUAUCUUAUCCUCACACACACACAAAAAUUCAUUCUCAUUUUUUUUAAUUCUUAUUUCUUUCUAAUCUUUUUCUUAUUACCAAUCAUUACACUUUCAUUUCAAAACUUCUUUUUCUAGUAAUAUUUAUAUAUAUAUAUAUUUUGAGUAAAGUUAACCUGAAUUUCAAGGGUUCAAAUCACGAACAAUUUUAAUUAAUUUCAAAUAACGUGUAAUGAUUAAUAAUAUUACUCUAUUUUAUAAAUAAUUUAAAUAUUUUUUUUAUACUUUUGAAAAUGGGUCUUUUUAUUAUAUUUGGUAGGGUAAAUUACUAUUAAUCAAGUUGUUAAUAGUUUGUUAAUUCUGUUACUUUGUAAUGAUAAUGGAUAUGUAAAGCCCACUUCCCUCAUCAUUUAUAUUUAGCCACAUAAUUAGUUGAUGAGUUAUUUUAUUUAAUAGAAGAACUCAAAAUACUUUUUAAUAUAUAUAUAUAUAUAUAGUGUUGAUAGUAACACGAAUAAUUAAUUUGUCCGUUUCAUAGUUGUUAACGUAAUCCUAAUAUGAUGUGUAUAUAUAUAUGUUAGACAUGCCUUGAUUGAAUUGAUGUAAUGCAGUGAUUAGCCAAAUAAAUUAGAUAACAUUUUAUGUGUUAAAUUAAUAAGGCUAUAUGAUAAUUGUUCCAUGGAUAAUAAAGGAAUUAAGUUUUAGUUUUUAGUGAAAUUUAAUUUGGGUUUUUAGUAUUAAUAUUUGUGUUAAAUUUAUCUCUAAAGUUAUAAAAUAAUUUUUUUUAUUUAUUCCGAGUAGUAAUAAUAUUUUAUGUUAGAUAGACAAUUAGGAUGUUAUUUCUAUUUGAUAGUAAUAAUUGAUAAGUGAUUAAAAAAAAAAAGAUAAAUUGAUUUUCAUAUAUUUCCAAUUAUAUAUAUUUAGUUCUAAAAGUUAAUUUUAUAUUUGAGAAAUAAUUAUUUAAUUAACUAAAUAAUUAUGGUAAAUUAAUAUAUAUUUCUAUUAAUGUGAUUGUUAAAUAUAUAUGGUUGAUAUAUGUUUAUAUUUAAAGAAAACUCAAAACAAUGAUCAUAUUGGAUUCACUCUAAUCACUAAACAAGAAUCAUAUAUUAUCUAAUGCCUCAAAAAAUAACUUGAAAUGAUUUUUCUAAAAUCAAAUUUAGUUUAUAUCAAACCCACAUUUGAAGGAAAAAGUGAUUUUGAUAAUCUUAAAACCACUACCAAACAAACCCUAAAAUCUCCAGCCUUAUAAUUGAAGAACCAAAAACACAAAUUGGUCUUUGUUUUGAAAGGAAGGCAACUAUAUAAAAGACAAUUUAAAGGGCUAGAAAUUUAUUAAGAAUAAUUGAAUUAUAAAGAGAUGGAUUUCAACAGCUACAUUAUUAAUUUAUAUAUUAAGAGUGAGAGAAGAAAAACUUGGGUUGAAAGAAUAUUGAUUCUCAUUGUACAGUACCAUCAGACAAAUUAUAGCAUUAUGGUAUCAUAUUCAGCACAUUUUAUCCUCUUCCUCUCCUCUCCUCUCCUCUCCUCCACACACACACACAAACAUAGAUAUAUAUUUUUAAUCAUAUGAUUAUUACUAAUCAUUAGUGCUCUAACUAAAACAUUAAUUAUUAUAUUAAUUUUACUCAAAAAGAAUCUGCCCACUUGCCCCCCCUCCUUCCCCUUCCCCUUCACGUUAAGAAACCCUUUUCCAUUUAUCAUCUUAUUAUAUUAAUCAUCCUUCCCUUUCCAUAAAGAAAUUAACAAUAAUAACACUCUCAUCUACUUACCUUCCAAUUGCAGACACAACCAUUUUCUUAAUACACUCCAUGUCCAAUCACUCCAUGAUUAGUGUUAAUCAAACUCCAUAAUUUCACUUUUCCCCUCGCCUCUUUUUAGUUUGUGGGUACCUUAAUUAAUUAUUUUCACGCAACUGUAUACCUUCCAUUAUGACGUGUUACAUUCUAACCAAAAUUACAUAAUAUUUUAAUCAAUCCAAUUAUAUAGUUAAAAUAUAUUUUCAUUAGAAGAAUGGUUAUAUAUAGAAAAUUGUUAAAUUAGCACUUAAUUACAUGCCUUAAGUCUGUUUUUCAAAAAUAGUUUCUCUCAAGUAUUAACAAAUUUUCCAAACCGCAUAACAAUGAUAAAAUCAAUCACUCAUUACAAGAGUUACAAAAUCUUAAUAAUCUAGUUAAGUAGCCAUCAUGUUUGUUUGGACACAUGAUUGAUAAAUUUUUGUUUUCAUAUGCUUCAAUCCAACUAAAACAAUCUAUACAAUAGUUUGUUUGUUUGUUUUUUUUUUCCCUAAUUCUUUACUCAAUCUUAAAUUCUAAGACAAUCCAUAAACAAGUUAUGUUGUGUAUAAUAGUUUUAAUCUAUAAAAUGCCACAUUAGAGAUAAUAAUGACAAAUGAAAUAAUGUAAUGAUCCUAGAUUAUAGUUUUAACAUAAAUACGAAGGGAAUAAAUAAGUAAAUAAGUAAUGGGGAGACAAGAAAGCGUGAUGACAAUGUUGAAAUAGAAACAAAACUUUGAUAGCAAUUCUUUUAAAAGGAAGUGCUUUAAUUAGCAGCUACCUACCACCUCAUUUCCCUUUCUUUCUUUCUUUCUUUCUUUCUUUCUUUCCUUUUUCCCUCUCCAAAUAUACAUAUAUUUCUCUUCUUAUUUUUGGCGGUGUCCCUACCACCUCCAUGGGUGACACAAUCACCCCUUCGGAUUUCAUUGUCCCUUUCAUUUUCCUUUUCUCUAUAUUAUAUUUUCAUCACCAUAUAUUAAAAUUUAGUUUCAUCCCCCAUUCUCCAAAACCUCUCUUUACAUCUACUUUCCCACUCCUUCCCUAUAUUCUAAUCCCUUUCAAAAUUUUCCAAAAUCUAUCUCAAUAAAAGACAAUUACACAUGUCACACCCCUUCUAUAACAUGUCAUUAAAAAAACCCCAUCAAUAUUCUUAUAAAAUUGUCCAUCAUAUAUACUAUUACAUUAACAAUAAUGGGGGAGCUCCAGAAGAAAAAUAGAAUAGAAUAGAAUAGAAUAGAAUGUUGUUUUAAAAAAGAAUAUAAAAAGGGGAAAUGAGUAUAAAGAAAUAGGAAGUGUCGGUGGUGGUUAAAUUAGGGAAGGGGCGUAGGAAAGUGAUAUCAUCUCAACCACAAUAUGAUUGCCCAAUUUUUUUCUUUUUCUUUUUAAUUUCUAACAUAUUGAAGAUGAUUGACGAGGUUUUGUUUUCAGUUAUAUAACUUAUAAGAGAAAGUCAUAAUAAUAAUUAUUUUGUUUUUUUGGGACCCUUUUUCAUUAUUCCCCAUUUUCCCUUCUAUUUCCAUUUUGACCUUUCUAAAUUUCUCUCUAUAAACUCUCUAAUAUCUUUUUCCUUCCACCUUCCCCAAAUAUCAAUAUCAAUGCAUCCUAGUAUCAUCAUCAUAAUAAAAAUCAAUGCAAUCCCAUAUCUUUUACAAAUUUAUAAAUAAAACAUCAAAACACACGUUACACAAUUUUUCUUUUCGUAAUUUCUUCUUAUAAAUUCAAUAUUAUUAUUGUCAACGUUGUUGAUUAUAUAUCACCACCCCUAAAGUCAAUUAGAGAUUAUUCUUUGUCUCCAUUUUGUCGUCUUACAUUAAGAAUAUUUUAAAAAAAUUAUAGUAUAUAUAUCAUGUUGUGACUAAGUUAAUUAUUAUAUGAUUUUAAAUCAUCUAAUUCUCUAAAACUAUGUAAUUAAAUUGAGAUAAAAUAGUAUAUAACUUGGUGGUCAAUGGCUUCCGUAGCAUAGUGGUAGUGCGUUCGCUUCGUAAGCGAAAGGUCGCGAGUUCGAUCCUCGCCGGGAGCUUCUUUUUUUUUUUCUUUUUUUCUUUUUAAUAAUGAUUUGAAUGAUCAGGCUUGAAAAGGGAAUGAUUAUAUUUAGCUCUUGGGAGGCAAUCAAUAAUAAUUCUUUUUUUAUGUAUAUAAAAGUUCCCAAAAUUAGAAUUAAGCAUGGCAUGUUUGGAUAAUAAUAGUUGUGUGCUUCUUCAUUAGCCAAAUUAACAAAUGUUUUGACAUGCAUCACAUUUCUUAAUUAAUUGCGCACUCCAAUAAUAAUUCAGGAUUAGUAUGCCCCCAUCCUAUAUUUACAUAACUAAUUAAAUCCCUUUAAUGUUCUAAUUAGCCCUCUGCGACUGCUAAUUAUAUCAUUUAAUACCAAAAGACAUAUUAUCUUUUUUUGUUCCCAUGUGUGUUUAAAUAAACCAAUUUAAUGCAAAGAGUUUCAACUUUUAAAAACACCUAAAUUCAACGAUUUUAUUUUUGCAGAAGUUUACAAGAAUCUUGUUGAAUAAUAUUAUAUUCUGCAUGUUUUUAAUGGUAAAAUUUAUCUUUUUAACCUCAUAUUACAAAACAACAAAAAUAAUCAUCAAAUACCAUAAAUUUGUUCUACGUACCUUCUCUCAAUAAUUAUUCUUCGUUUAGUUAGAUGACCAUUCAAUUCUAUACCAAUUUGUUAGUGUUAUUUUCAAUCAAAUGUUGAAAGUAGCAAUUGACUCAAUUACACUACAAAUCUUUUCAAACGUAAGUGGUGGAAGUAUAUCAUAACCUCCUUGAAGUACAUUAUUUGCUAUCUCUUUCAUUGGAUGAUAAUAAAAUAAUUUGUGGGCAAAUAUAUAUUAGGAGGAGAGAAAGAAAAUAAUAUGAAAAGAAAGGGAUAUGAGAGUAGAGAAUAGGAAAGCAAUAAUAAAGGGUAUUUUCAUAAAUAGUAUAUAGAAGUAUAUGUCCCUCGAGGAAGAAAUUAGUUGGACCGACUUUCUUCUAUAUACUUUCCCCAAUAAUCCAAACCUUCAAUUCUUCUCUUUCUCUUCCCCUUUUUAAAUCAAUAUCAAAACACCCAAAUCUUCCCUCUAUAUACUUCCAUUCCCUAUCAUUAAAAGUUAAAAACAUCAAAAGUUUGUAGUAACUCAUUUAAUUAAGCAACUCAAUGCACGUAAACUUAAACAUAGAUCAACAAGAAAUAUAAAAAUAAUUAAAUGGAAAUUAAGUAUAUGUUCUAAAUAGAAUAACAAACAUAGGGGGGAAUGCUUUAAAACCCUACCUCACAAACUCUGAAGAAGUCAAGAAAAUUGUAGAGGAAGUUGAAAAGAAUGAUUUAAAAGAGAAUGAAGUUGAAGGCUUAGGAAAAGUAAAAUUAAUCUUAGAAAACAAUGCAUGCAUGGCAUUAAUUAUUUUUAAUUUCAUAUAUAGGAUGUGAUCACAACAAUAUUUGUGAGCCUUAAUUAGUUUAAUAAAUAUUUUCCUAUUUUGAAAUAUUGACUAACAAGAAGUUGACAAAACACGAUUAUAAUACAACUAGCUAGCCUCUCAUAUUUUAGACUUAUGCUUGAAGAUAAAACUUCAAAGUUCCAUUUAUUUAUAUAAUUUGUUGUUUGUUGUUGUUAGUAAUAAAUAUACAAAUUGAAUUUUGAAGAGUGCAUAAGAUACCAUAAUAAGUACACAUAUAUUUACAAUUAUUGUGUGCAUAAUUUAUUAAAUACUAAUCUACUUCAUGCAGAGACAAAAACGACUUAAUUGGCGUCAAUGGAAUGAUAGGUUUAUCCUUUAGGAAUUAAAAAAAGAAAAGAAAAGAAAAAGAAAAAGGAAUGAAGAUAGAUUAUAAAUUUUAAUAAGUUACCAAAAUUCUCUCUCCUUAUUAAUUAAUAAGAUGGUAGUGGAAGAUGUUGGGUAUUGACAACAAAUUAAAAUGUAAUGAAUGGUAUUUAUGAGUUGGGGAAAGAAAAUAAUAAAUAAAAAAAUAAAAAUAAAGAAGAAAGAAGAAGAAGAUAUUUUAUGUUGAUUGAAAAAAGGGAGUGGGGACUUAGGGCAAUUAAUAGCAUAUAUGCUCCAUAAAUUUCGUUGAAUGAAAUAGAAGUCUCAACAAACACACUUAAAGAACAUUGUUGCUCAUUGGCCCUCUAAAGUACACAUUUAUCCCUAUGAAAAUUAAAUAUAACCCAAUCCCACACACUUAGCAAAAUGGUUAAAAUCAAAAGUAUCCAACACUUGUUUUCUUUAUAAAGUAUCGAGAAAAUUAGUGGUGGGUUCUUUUGUGCAUGGAUUGAUCAUACUACAACUACGUAAACAUAAUUUUGAAGAUGAUGAAAACUUAGUUAGGGGUUAGGAUUAGUGAAUAGAAGAGUUUGAAUUAUACAUGAAGAAUGAAGAAUAGAAUCCACGUGUGUUGUGAAAUGUAAAUAUAAAAUAAAGUAUAAGGCACAGCUCAGGCAUUAGGUACAUGUCGUCGGGUACGGGCUCUGUACAACUGUGAGUGAAAGUGUCAACUCAACACUAAUUUUUUUCUUUCCUUUUCAUCUUUUUUUCAUAUAUAUAUAUAUAUAGUUUUCAACCCCUUCAUUUUCUUUUUUGGCUCUUUGACUACUCUUGUUGUGUUGUGUUGUGUUGUGUGUAUAUAUCUAUAAAGUUUUGGUCAAAAAACCAAACUGAUAAUAUGUAUCUGCCAGCUCAACAUUAUAUUUCUGCCUCUCUGCAUAUCAAAUUCAAAUUGUACAACCCAUUCAUUGUACCGUACACUUACCCAAUACAAAUGGGUUAAAUUACAGAACUGCACCUCUUAGUUUAGAACAAGUUUAAAUUCUGUCAUUGUGAUCUAAAUGUUGGAAUUUGUCGUAAUGGCUUUGUUUAAUACAGAAGAAGUACUGUUAUGAAAUAAUAGAGACUCUCUACCAAGCUUUUACUCAGAAUAUGAGAAAAAUCUACUUAUUUGCACAUCUCUCAAACUCUCAUGCAGUAGAAAUUUAUUCUCUUGAUUUGUGUGAUUUGUACUUUUUUUUUUUUCCAUAAGAAACUCAAGUCCACAGUGGAAAUAUAAAUGAUAGAAACUGAAGUGUAACCUAUCAGAAACUAAACAGCCUCAAAUGUGUGUAAAGUUAUUUUCUGUAAAAGUAAAAUUGUGGUAACUCCUAAAUAUAUGAGUUCUUGUCAUGUUUCGGAUGUAGAGAGAAGAGAUUAUGAACUGUAGCAGUAUCGUUAAGAAUAAUUUUUUUGAAAACCCAAUAAUUAUUUCUGCCUUGUGAAGAGAGUGUACUUACUGUUUUAGAACAAUCAUAUACAGUAGUGAGUGAUAUCUUUAGAGAAUUUUUUUAAAAAAAGUAUGUUAGCUAGUGAAUAUAAAUUAGUUUGAAGCGACAUGUAUUAACUCAUAAGAAGACAAUAAAGUGUGAGCUAAAUGUAGCGAUAAGACAUAUGAAGUGAGAUGCCUUAAAUCAAGGAUCCAAAACCAAGAGGGUUAAAAGUUGAGUUAAUAAAGAGAGGAAAAGUGUGUAAUAGGUAGUGAUUAACUAUAUGGAAGAAAAUUAAAAUGGAGUAAAAAUAAAAAGAGAUAAAGUUUGGUUAAAGAACAAAGAUAAAAGAGCAAAGAGAGUAGAGGGAAAAAAAGGGGUAACAAAAUUUGAAAGAGAUAUUUAAAGAUUGGGGAUGGGGGACCAAAUAGGAUCUAAGAUGCUAUUGAGUUUGAGUACAAUAUAUAUAGCUAAGCACACCCAACCCCAUAUCUCUCUCAUUUAUUAUGAUAUGUAUGACUACUCCAUUAUUUGGUCUUUUCCUUUUGACGGUGCAAACACUUUCCACACUACCAAACUCAACAGUUUUUUCACAUUUUCCCUUACUGCCUUCCUCCAUACUUCUAUGCUUCAUAUCAAUACUCAUACAUCUCUUCAAUAAUUUGUUUAUAAAACAUACCCAAACAAAAAAUAUCAAUCUAGUUAAUUUAAUAGGAAUAGAAGUACUAAUAAUAAUAGUAUCCAUAGUUUAGUUUGUGAGUAAAAUCAAAUUAAUUAUUAAUUUAUAAAUUUUGUGACUAUAACUUUUUCUAUAUCACUUUCAUUUCAUUUUUCACGUUUUUUUAGUAGGCAUAGUGUCACGUGGUUAUUUUAAUCACAGAACCAACGUGCGGCACAAAGGUGUUGGGGUUGCACCAAUGUAAGCCUAAGAGUAAUUGGACUUGUUGGAACAAACUAAGGAAGAAGGAAAUUCGUAGGUAAGAAGUAGGCAAAGAGUUGUAGACAAGGUGUUUGAUAAAAUGCUUAAGAGAGCUUUGUUGAUGAAUUCCCAAGGAUUCUGUGUUGUGUUUACAAAUGGACCCCUUUGGGGUAUUUAUAGAAGUAUACAAUCUAUUUACAAGCCCUAAACCGCCUUACAAGGUCGGCAAAAGCGAUCUGGAACAUUCCCGAGCGCUCAUGACACUGUCCAGAAGCUUCUGGAAGCGUCUGGGGCCGUCUGGGGCCGUCUGGCGCGCGCGCGGGCCUUCUGGAGGCUUCCGCGCGUGCGCGCCUUCGCGCGUGUUCGCGAGCCUUCCCGGCCGCUCGCGAUUCUUCUGGAACCUUCGAGAGGUUCCCGGAUGCUUCUCCGCGCGCUCCGUGCGCUCCGUGUCCGCUUCCCGCGCGCGCUAGUGUAGCGCGCGCGUCCGACUGGCCUUGCGCGCGCGUCCAUGCCGCGCGCGCCCAUCUGCCGUGCGCGUCCGCUUGUCUGCCUGCCGCCCUUGCGCGCGCGCGCGCCUAUGUCAUGACAGGGCCGCGCGCGCCAAUCUCCUGCACAUUGGCGUGUCAUAGGCUUGGCGUGAACCUGUUCCUCUUCCUUGGGUCUUUGGACUGCUUGGGACUUGGUUGGCUCCUCUUGGGCAAUGCUAGGGAGCCUUAAUUUGCGAAAAAUCUGUUGGGUCAUUUUUGGGGCGUGACAAUAGUCUUACUAUUUUACAAUGGGUGGCUAGAAUACCACAUACACGAAAUAUUCAAUGUUCGGUAGGUUAGAAACUGUACCACCAUACGAUUCUCACGUAUGUAGAUAGGUUGUUGUUAUAUACCAUUAAAUUGAAGGUUGAAGUAUAUGUUCCUAUCACUUUUAUUUUUGUGUCACGGGAUGAUCUACAACAAUAGUAUAUUGUAGUACCAUUGGAUUUAUGCAUGCAUAUGUUUAUUAUAAUUUUAUUUUUGGUUUUACCCGCACUUAUUGUUAAUAGAGAUGUUUGGUUGUACUUUCCUUUCGUGUCUCAUAUAUAUUCUCCUUUACGCGAGAAUUUUGUUCACAUUCCGGUACUUGGAGGGUAAAUUACAAAUUGUAUUGCAAGUAUAUUAGAUGGUGUAAUUUGUUAAAUCGAGAGACAUAGCUAAUAACAAAUAUGUAUUAGAUAUAAUUAUAAAUUUUGAUGUGGGUUAAAAGGUGCAUACCCUCUAAAAAAUAUGUCGUUGUCUUAAGCGUAGAAGCAAGUCAUCACUUUAAUUAAUUAUUUGGUUAAGUAUGGAGGCCUACUCAACGAGUCAACCAUAAAGUCAUAUUUAUGCUUACAUAUUAUGCAAGUUGAUCCAUAGGGACGGUUAUAAUUAAAGCUUGUGGAGAUCGACCCUAUAAACAUAAAUGUUGUUCUAAGUAUUGUAUUUUAGCAUAUACUUGAGAACCACUAGGGAAAUGAAUCCGACAAUCUACAAUGGUUAGUAAUAAGAAGUUAAUUAACAGAACCAUUACAAACCUCAUUUCUAUAUAAUCAAGAUGACUCCUGACGUUUGAGGUACACUAAAAUGCAUCUCGACUUCCAUAAUCUCAAUUACGAAAAAAAAAUACUUUUAAACAAAGUCGGUAACUUUUAAAGAUUUUAAUACGGUGUCUUGAUUUUUUAAAAUAUUGCUAGAAAGUAUAUAUCUAAGCAAUUAACCUAGAGUUGAAUAUUUUCUUAAGCAUAAUUAAACUAAUAGUAAUUUAUUUUUGAAAAAAACGACAAACUAUUUACACUCCAACAAAACCCAUAAAAAACAAAAUUUAUUACGGUUGAUUUUUCUAAUAAUUUUUUCUUUUGACAAAUUCCAAUAAAAAAUACUACCAAGCCUAACUUUUAGUUUCUAAAUAUAAAUUUAUUUGGCAAAAGAGGUAGUGAAUUUAAAUUUAAUUUGGAGCUAUUUUAAAAUAUUAGUUAUAGAUGUAAAUAAAGAUUUAUGAAAAUAGCAAAAAUUUAUAACAAAUAUGUUAAAAGAGUGGUGUUAUUUAGAAAAACUAAUAAAAACAAAAUUUAAGAAUAAUAUAUAUAAAUUAAAAAAAGAAAAGGAAAGUGAAAAAAAAAAUCCCGUUACUAAAAGGGAAAAAAAAAAGCUUGAAAGUUGAAACAAUAAUCCCCGCCCCAAAUUUGAAUCGUAAAUAGGAAAGUGUUUUCUUCUUCUUCUUGAAUUUGUGUUGGUGGUAAAAAGAAAAGCAAAGUGGGAAAAAGCAAACUGAGUCCCGUUUCCUUUAUUUUGGAAUGUAAUUGGAGGGCUGCUUUUGGUUUCAACGCAAGUUAAUUUUGUUUUCUUUUUGGAGGGAAGGGGACACCAUGCAUCCCCAAAUUCUUUCCUAUUUUUUAAAUUAAUCAAAUCAUUCAUUUUUCUUUUCCUCUCUUAAAAUAACACACCCAUUGAAUAAAUAAAUGUAAAUCCUACAACAUUAGUAUUAUUAAUUAGCAGUGUUGAAUGGCAAUGAAUGAUAAAUAUGGCUGAAUCAUUUAUUUUUGUCCACCCUCCUAACAGACAAUAUCAGAUUAAUUUCAUUAUACAAUAAACAUGCCUUCAAACAUAUUCCAUUUUAAAAUUCAAAUAUUGGUUAAAAGAAAAAGAAAAAGAAGAAGAAGAAGAGGUUUAUUUAAUUUAAUUGUGUAUCAAAUUCAAGGAAUGUUCCUCCACCAUAAUAUAUAUAUAUAUAUAUACAAAAGAAUAAAAAUAGAAAUAAAAAUAGAAAGAAUGAGGGAAGAUGGGAUGAAAUAGAACGCACGCGCGCAUUUCCGGAAGUCAGUGCCGCACGUACCUAACUCUUUACUCUCUUUCCUAUAUAAACUCCCCCCCGCCACUUCCUUCUUCUUCAUCUCUUCAUAUUCUCCAUUUCCAAUUCCUCUCUUCAACUCACAUAUUUUCUCCACUUCUAAUUAUUAAUUAUCAUAAUCUUUUAAUCUUAAUUCCUUCUUCACUUUCCUGCUUUUUUAUCUCUGCAAAAUGGCUGCUCUUACCUCAUUUCCUCAGAUUAACGAUAUCGAUUCCGCCAUGGCUGGCUUCGAUGUUGAUAAGCUUACUUAUGAGAUCUUCUCUAUUUUGGAAAAUAAGUUUCUAUUUGGUUGCGAUGAUUCAGAUCAGAAGCUACAUGUCGCUCCUCAGCCUCCUCUUGUGGAUGCCAAUGCCUUUAAAUCUGGAAAGCAUAACUCAGGGAAGGUUAGGAUUUUGAGUAUUGAUGGUGGAGGUUCUACCGAUGGGGUCCUUGCUGCUAAGUCACUUACGUAUCUUGAGGAUUUUCUCCGUCGGAAGUCGGGAAACCCUCAUGCCUGCAUUGCAGAUUAUUUUGAUGUGGUUGCUGGUUCGGGAGCGGGAGGCAUUCUCGCGGCCUUGCUGUUUACUAAGGGGAAAGAUGGUUAUCCUCUGUUUACGGCGGAUGGAGCUUUGAAUUUUCUGAUUAAGAACCGUCGGGAGAUUUUCCGGUCAUCGGAUGGAGGAAUCCUCAGACGAGUGUUCGGCUCGACGAAAGUGGAGAAGUUGUUUAGGAAGACGUUUGGAGAGUGCACGUUGAAGGACACGUUGAAAUCGGUUUUGAUUCCGUGCUACGAUCUCUCCACACGAGCGCCAUUCCUGUUUUCUCGUGCCGACGCUCACGAAAUGGACGGUUACGAUUUCAAGAUUCGCGACAUUUGUAUUGCGACGUCUGCAGAACCGACAGUCUCCGGAGCUGUCCAAAUGUCAUCCGUCGACAAGCGAACGAAAAUCGCAGCCGUCGACGGCGGCAUAGCGAUGAAUAACCCGACGGCCGCUGCAAUCACUCACGUGUUGAACAAUAAACAAGAAUUUCCGUUUUGCAACACCGUGGAAGAUCUCCUCGUAGUAUCUCUCGGAAACGGAGAGUCAGACUUCAGCGCCGUAAACCUAAAUUCAUCUCCUGCCUCAUUCACAAGGAUCGCCGGAGAGGGAGCUUCCGACGUGGUAAAUUACCUAAUCUUACCCUUUAUAUACAUACAACAAUUCCUUAAAUCAAUUAAUUCACUUCUAAAAAAUGGUUUAAAGAUGAACAAUCCAUAGUAAAAUUUUGUAUUGAAUUGAUAAGGACAAAAUUUGUCGGUUGAGGAAGACAAAUACAAUAGCGAAGAGAUUCGGCGUUCAUUUAAUUUUGUGCAUACAAACAUUUAAAAAAAGAAAAAAAGAAGGCCGUAUUUGGACUCGACAGCUUUAUUGCAUCACAAAUCAGACUUCCUUCAACCCCCCCUUUGUUUAUUUCAAAAAUAAAAUAGAGAAUCUUAAUUUGUUAGCACAAAACACAUACAGAGUAGAAAUUGGGCUAAUUCAUUUAAUGGGGUUGGUGAGGUUAUUAAUUAUUUGUGUGCUUUUCUUUUCUUUUAUUCUAUAGGUUGAUCAAGCUGUUUCUAUGGCAUUUGGUCCGCACAGGGCAACCAAUUAUAUUCGUAUUCAGGUAUACAUUAUCAUUGCGUUGUUGUUAUUCAACUUCAGACUUUUCCUGCGUUAAAUUUCCUUAUUUCCAGUUAUUAGUCUGAUAAGAAACUGUUUAAUUAACAAUGGAACUUGAAUUUGAUUUGAUGUUAUCAGGGAAAUGGGAUUGUUGGGGGUUUGGAGAAGGGAAAAAGAGGGCAGAAGAUGAAUAGGAUAAACAUAUUGGAAAAAGCAGACGAAAUGCUAACACAGAAGAACAUAGAAGCUAUUUUAUUCAAAGGAAAGAAGAUGAUUGAGAACACAAAUUUAGAGAAACUUGAGGUUUUUGGUGGAGAAGUAAUCAAAGAAGAAGAGAGAAGAAAAAGUAGCAUCCUCCCAACUGUAUUAUUGAAACAAGCUGCAUUUCCAUCCCCAAGAACAUCCUCUGCUUCAGCCACAACACUCUCCACAAUUUCUUCAUGCUAAUACUUAAUUAUUUCAAUCAAACCCAAAAAAACACUCUGAAUUUGGUGGUUAGUUUAGUUUCUAUAUAUAUAUAUAUAUAUAUAAAUCAAUCAAUCGAUCAUGAACCCAAAAAAAAACGAUGAAUUUGUGUAUUAUGUAUGCUGCUGCCGCUCGCGAUGAAAUGGAAACGUCCGAGUCUGAGCUGAGCUGCCUUUUUUUUUUCUUUUACUGAAUCCUUCUGGGGUGUGGUUGUUGCAAACAAAUAUGAGGGCUUUCCAAAUGCCCCAAUUGUAUAGUUUAAAAACACAAACUGAGAGAGAUUUUUUUCUUUCAUUUUUUCAUUUUUUUUAUGGGGAGAGUGUGUGCUUUUAGAGUAGAAAGAAAGAGGGAGAGAGAGAGAGAGAGAGAGGUUUGAGUUUUGUGUAAUUUUACAUAUAAUAUCCCAUUGGUAAAAUUUGGGCAUUUAACCUCUCUUUCUUGUGUUUGUAUUCUCUUUUUGAGUUAAGUGUGUGAUGAUGAUUUAUAAUCACUUUCACUAGUGGACAAAGGACAUGGGGUCCUUUGGGAAGAACAAACAAGGCCCAAAAUUGUAAUAGAUCAUAGUGUUUAUUUAAUGUCACAUUAUUAAUUCCUCUUUCUUUUCCGCCUUAAAAUAUUUUCAUCCAAUUCAAUCUUCUAUACUUUUCUAUUUCAUCCAAUUCAAUAAUACAUUUAGCAAUUUUAAUAUUUGUCCACUUAUCAAUCACAUCCGAUUCAACCAAAUAAAAUACCCAAAAAUAAUAUCAAAAUGCUCCAACCUUAUCAUAAUUUAAAUAAGUCAUAAAAAAAAGCAAAGACUAAACUUUAGAAUCCCUAAACCUAACUAAUAAAGCACAUAUCCUUCCCAACCAUGAUUAGAUGUUAGGAAAACUAACACUAAACAAAUAAAUUCUAUUUAGCUACACAAUUAUUCUUAAGUACCUCAAAACAUUCACACAUUUAGAAGAAUAAUUAAAGGGACUAUUUAUUCAAAUUUAGAGUUUAUUUAGUAUAAUAACUACAUAAUAGGAUAUCAAACAUCUAUUAUAAUUAAGUAUGAAAUCGUUUGUAUCAUUCCACCAUUUUUUUAGAGAAUUUAAAUAGAGUUAGCACACUCAAAUUUGAAAUAUUUUUAAUUGAAACAAUUUGAAACCAAUUGAUAUAGACUAUUUUUAUAGUGAUUGGAGUUGAAUUUUCAGCAUGUGACAAAGACAUACUUUUGAAUAGUUAAAACUAAACAUACUUUUGACUUUUAGGAAGGAAGAACAAGUUAACUAUCGUCCACUUCAAGAUUAAAGUUGAAGUAUAAAUAUAGAUAGAUGGAGUUGGAUUGGAUAUGUUCUGUUUUUUCCUUUUUUUCCCUUGUGAGGAUGAAUUGAAAAUGUUAAUGAAAUGGGGUUUGUAUUGAUUUAAAAGAAGGGGGGGCUGCAGCUGUUGAACAGAUAUUGUACAUUCAAUUAAUACAGAAAUAAAAGCUAUGGGGAAGGUUGGUGAUGUUAGAACUUAAGACCCCAAAAUUAAGAAAAAGUGGUUGAGAAGAGAGAUUGCUUUGCAUUCCUUUUGGCUUUGGCUUUGGCCUUCACUCACCGACAAAUUAACUUUUUUAGAGAAUAUUAUGGUCGGCUCUUUGUACUCUUCUUUCUAUUAUUUGACUUCAAAUCAUUCUAAUCUAAAAUCAAAUUGCAUCUGUUUGGAGCAAAAAACCAAAUUAGUCUAAAGUUUCAACUCCAUCCAUAUCCAAAACUUCUCCACUUUUUUUUUUUUUUUCAUGUGAACAGUUCGUUUCUUGUAUUCAAAAAACCUUUUCAUACUAUAGACCAAGUUGAGAUAGACUUGUUAUAUAUUGCAUCUUUUCUUAAAUAUACAAAUUUAACUAUUUAUUUUGAAGAUGUGAUCUCCUUUAAAUAAGUUAAUAAAUAAUAAUCACUUUAUAUUGAUGACUACUUGUGUGAAUCCUGAAUAGUUAUAUAUAGUUGGUAGGAGGCUUAGCAUAGAAAGACUAAAGAUGAUGAAGCAAAAGAAAGAAUUGAAAUCAAGAAUUAAAAUCAACGAAGUGUUGUCAAGUCACCUUUGUAAUUGAUAUAUAUAAAAAGUUAUAAUUCAUUUAUUGUAGCUGAUGGAAAACUAAUGGUAUCGACCAAAACCAAGAUCUUUCUUAACUUGAAAAAUUGUGAAAUCCAACUUUCCGACUCAUUCAAUACACCACUUAAAUCAAUCAAUAAGUGUCUAUAUGACACGUGUUCAAAGCAAUUUAGUAUCGAGUUUACAAAUAUCAAACUUUGAAUCCUCAAACUUUUAAAAAUAAUAGUUUUGCUUCAUAAAUUUUUAAAAAGUAUUUAUUUUAAUAACUUUUUAACAAAAAUCUAAAUGGCCUUCUACUUCUAAGCUCAGUGUAUUAAGCAAGAUGUGAAGUAAGAUGUGUCAAAAUAGUAAAUGACUGCCAACAUGAGCUUAGUUCAAUGGAUACAUGUAUGUAUCCAAGAACACGAGGCUUCAGGUUCAAAUUUCCUCCUCCUAUUUAUAUUACAAUACUUUUUCAAGUAAAAAAGAGUGAAAGACCAAAAUUUUGAGUGUAAAUUUGAGCUCCAAAUUCUCGUAUAAACAAAUCGACCAAGUUAGAUUAGUUAAGCUACUUUUAAAAUUUGGGGGAAAAAAGUAAAAACAAUAUCAAAGGUUUAGGAAUUAAUACAGCGAGAGGUUAUAUUUUUGUAUAUAUAAAAAACACCAACGGCCCCACGAUGGCUCAUCAGCUAAUGUUCACAAAAAUGUCAUCAAAUUUCUUUUGGAGAAAUAAUAUCAAUUUAAAUACUAUAAUUUAUCUUGUGAAAAGAUUUAAAUACCAUAAUUACUUAUCAUGCUAGUAUUUCAUUAUCUAUUAAUAAAGAUAGUAUCUAACUAUAUAACGUAGAGAAAAGGUAAACCUUUUCGUUGCACUCAAAAUGGAGAAAUAUGAAUUGGUGUUGUGGUGAUCUUUGUAUUGGAUUAGAAACAUGAAUUGUAUAUAUAUAAUAGUUCGAAAGUCUUACAUUUCUAUUACAUCUUACACUUCACAAACAAGUGAUUUUAGUGAUCCAACCUAUAAAAUGUUAAAUUGAGAAGGUGCUUUACUAAAACAAAUGGGGAUGCUACUCAACAAUUAAGCACCAUAUGACUAAAAACAGAAGCCGGAAGUAAAUUUUCAUUUACGUUCAAAAGUAUUAUACGGGGGGGAAAAUACAGCUGGGCAUAAAAAGAAAAAACAAAAAGAAUAAAAUUUGAUGUGAUUCAAAAUAUAUAUUUUAAUGGAAGUGACUGCCAUUGGUUUAAUAGCAAUUCUUCAAAAGCACAAAUACAAAAGCUGGCUGGCGACUUUGAACGACCCGAUCCUGAAAUUUCAAUAAACUCAGCGCUUGAAAAAAAAUAAGCACCAGCAACCAAUAAACGAUAACACUAAUCUCUAUUACCGGCAUCCACACUUUUGCCUCCGUUGUAUCGUACACGAUAACGGCUCGUGUUCAGACUGACUUUGAAACAUUGGUAGCUCUCACAUCUUGUCUCGUGCUUCACAGAGGUUCAAUAGUUCCACUUUUAAGUCUUUCCAUCCUGGCUUGAAGUCCAGAUAGUGCCUUCUCAUCCAUGGGAAGGACUCCAGCUUGAGCAGAAUUCUCAACGCCGAUGUGCUCUGAUGGUUGAGACAUUUGAGCAAUCAUUCCGGGGUGCAAAUUGUCAUUUACAGACAUUAAUGGCUUGCUUCCCGAUUCGUGGUUUCCAGCAGCCGCAGCUAAUUGCAUACUUUUCAUCCUCUCUCUUAUUGCAUCUAGUGUGCCACUCGUUACUGCGUUUUCCAGAAAAAUUUCCACUAUCAGAUCCCCAAUAGGAAAAGAAAACAUAAAAAUACUUUGAGCAUGACUAAAAGAAUAGUGACGUUUUUACCUCCACUUAUGUAUUUGUCGUUCCUUUGAUCUCCAAGUGAGUAAUCAGGCCCGGGACCUCUUGAAGUAAUAAUCCUAUUGUCUUCAGUAUAUGAUGGUGGCAAAGUAAAGUUAGUGGGUUCAGGUUUCACAUUCAAUGAUUUUGCUUCGGUUAAAGAAUUAGUAUGUACAGGAGACAAGGGUGCAAAAUCAGGCGAAGAGUUCAUGGAAGCGGGAGGAGGAGUUGACAAUGGCAAACUUGAAGGUGUUCUACCGGCAGCUGCAUUUCUCUCCAUCUGCAAUGAAAGUGAAUUACAUAAAUGUAGGUUUGCUACAAUAUUGGGAAAUAAUAAUAUUUUCACGCCACGCACAAACAAUAAGAACCAACAAAGUCAAUGAACAAAUGGCCAAAACUAAACAUCGGGGAAAUUGUAAAAAAACAUCUCUUCAAAUCCUCUAAUGUUCUGUUAACAUGAUAAUUCCAAUGUUUCAGUAGUUAUUCACGAAAAAGACAGAUACAAACCUGGGCCAAACCAUCUCUAAUGUAUGUACGAAAUGCCUCACUAGCAUUUUGAAGCUGAGCAAAUAUAUCAACCUGAGAAAAGCAAGACCAGCAGAGGCUUCUCAGUUUAUGUUUAGCUUAAAUAAUUUAAGGCAAAGCAAGUCAUCGUCAUCCUCUUGAAAAUACAUCUAGGUCAAUCCAAAGCAAGGGAUGAUUAAUAUUCUGUAGGUGAAUGUUAUAGAGCCUGUUACGGUUGCAUUUCCUCUGAAUGAAAAUCUUACCUUUUCUCUGUUCUCACACUCAUUAUAAUUGCAAUGUUAAGAGACCGUUCAUUACCUUAGGGUAAAGUUGAGUUAUUCUAUAUAACUCGUAUAAUCCAAUGGUACAUGUCUGCUUGUCCCCAAUUUUCUUGAAUAUAGCAGCAAGUUCUUGCUGCAGUAAAAUGCAGAAAAUUAGAAUUUGAUUGAUCUAAGAUGCAAGCUAGAAAGGUAAAAGAAAAUAAACGCAAUAACUUAAGCAUAAAUGACAGAUAAAUUCGAAGCCAAAUGAGAAAAGUAUCAUUUUUUAGGCAAAGGCCCAAUACCUUCAACUGUGCAUCAGCAGACUGUGUGCCAGAAGAUGCAUUAUUUGCUGUUGAGUCACCCCAAUGAGUCUGGCCAGCAGGCCCAGUUGAUGUCAACAUUCUCGCAGCGGCUAAAGUCUACUUGGAAGUAGAGACAUCAAGAGUUAUCAGUCUUCCUCAAAAACAUAAUAAUAAGAAUAGAAUUGACCAUUUAAAUGGUUCUACCUCAAGAUUAAGAUCAAUGUAAGCAAGAAUAAUUGGCUGUGGUUUCAUAUCAAUAGGAACCAUGGAGAGAUGACCCUUUAUUGCAGCACCACGAAGCUUUACAAGUUCAUGUAGAACUGUUUUAACCAUUCGAAGGGGCUUAUCAUCAGCUCCAGCUCUUUAACAAGGAAGAAGAAAAGUCACAUAAAUACAAUGCUAUAAACCAAAAGGAAAACCUUCAAAAUUAAGAUGUAUGUUAAAUUCCACAUGUGCCAAUACAAUAGAGAUACCUUCUCCUAAUUUCUUCCAUCCCCAGAUUUUGUAGAUAUAAAUGGAUGCUUUGCAAGAUGCGAUCGAGAUCAACAUCGUAUAUAGUGCUUUGAAGAACCUGUAUCACCAGGAAGCAAAUUCAAGUAUCUGGAGGAAUAUAUAUGCAUACAUGUACACAAACACAGCAUUAAAACGUAUACCAUUCUAUAAUACAAAAUCCAGUUUCUUGAAGUUUUUUCCUCAGUCCCUAUUUCUAAAAAUAAAAUGAAACAAAACCUCACAGAUCCAAGAAAAACUAAACAGUUGGAACUCCACUAUCGUGGCAAUAGAAGACCACAAAAAUCGUCCACAUCUGUUUUACUAAUCAAUAAUGAAGAGAGAACCAUCCCUCUCCAUUCCCAUAUCUAAUACUCAAUAUCUAGAGAAAUCGCUCCUUACUUAUCUGAAAUAAUUAGAAAGAUCUAAAAUAUGCUCUAAUUCUCUCCAAGGAUGGGCUUUUAUUUAUGGGUAAGGAUGACAUAAACAAUUUGAAAAAUGAACCAAACUUUAAAUAUUUUAUAAAGCUCCGCCAAUGUUAGCUCAGAGAAACAUACAAAAAAGAGUAAUCAAACUAAUGGGAAUAAUGAAUACAUACCUUUGUAAGUUUAAUAAGACAUUUUACAACCAAAUCAGAGAACUUCUGAUUUCUGGAAGCAAAUGACUCUUUGGACCCAGUUGAAGGCCAUCUUGAGGGUUCCAAUGGACGCAACAAAUUGAUGAGUACCACAAAUGAAGAAGUUCGAUCUGCAUUAUCCUGUACAAAAAACAAAAACAUAAACCAAAGAGAAAAAAACUAUUUAAGAACAAUUUCCUAACAACACUCAGAAAAAGAAGCAUCUUGAGAAAAUAAUGACCAGAAUCUUCAGCAUCAAAACAUUUAAAGCUUUCAGAAGUUGGCUGCCAUCAUCCAUAUGCGGGACUCGUUCAUCCAAUAGCCACAAAAGAAGUUCUGUGAUAAGACUGUCCAGAGUCUUUUCCUUGACAGCAUAAGCAAGUCUUUUGUUUUGAAACGUCUGCAGAAAAAAUGAACUUUUCAAUUAACAAGAAAGGUUUCUUCUUACAAACAUAGAUAGGGCAUUUCAUAUAAAAUAAGUAUAAAAAAAUUUAAUGCAUGUUUUCGGUUCCUACAACUCCUGUGUUGAAUUAGCAAAAGCAUAAUUUUUAGAAACCAAAUAAAAAUUGACUGGUAAGCACCUGCAUAAGGGUAUUGAGAACAUAUUUACAGGACCUUGAAGAAGCUCCAGUCAGACUGUAGUCAAAAGUUUUGGCAACCUAUACACGGAUUAAAGAUGCAAGCAAUUCACAAAAUGAGCAAAAAAAUACAAAUAUGGGAGACUGAAACAGCUCUUUUCGUACUUUUGUUGCCAAGCAUAAAACAAGUCUAUCAGCAUCCCUUGCCAGCUCAUCCAUUGAACUGCCUUCUGGAUCACUGGAGGCUUGAGCCAACUCAUGACAUACAACUUUCAUUCCUUCCACAGACUGCAAAAGGUACCCAAUAUUGAUUUUGAUAACUCACAUAAAAAAAAAAUUAACACAAGAUAUCUACAAUUGGGUGCCAAUAAUUUUAAUAUAAUAAAAUGGAAACUAGAUGUCGAAUACCAUUCAUCUGAAAAAGUGAUCAAAGGUGAAAAGCCUAUUGCUGAAUUGUACGUAAAUAUUAUAAUCAAUGAUACAUUUCUGAUUUAUGUGAAUCCAAUAAAAUAGAGAGAAUAGAUGAUUUUCCAUGAAGGAAAGUAUACCUCUAUGGAAGAGUGCUUUUGGCUUAAAUUGAAACUAUUCCCAUUUUAAUGCAAAAAAAAGAAUCCUUCAGUAUGAGGUUGAUCAUUGAGAAUGUUUAACAGUAUUUACUUAACAUUGUACUAGUUGUUCGACUGUGGUUUUACAGAUUUAUACCAUGGAGUUCAAUAGUUUCCACUUUGUAUGAUAAUUUUUAAGUGGAUCCCUGAUUCACUAGAUGAUUAAUUUUCAACGAACCUCUUACCUCAUUGUAUUUACAAAAAUAUUUCAAUCUAAAACAUAAUCCCUAAUGUAAGAUGUUAUUAAAAAAUUAAGAUAUCUUCAGUAGCAUUUCUAUAGAUUUUAUAGUAUCUACAAACAUUUUUCAACGAAACCUAAUCCCCACACUCAUUAAAAAUUAAAAUUCUUCUAUUGAAUGCAGGCAAUAAUCAAUAAAUAGUUGUCCACCUGCUCAGGUGAGCCAAAAGAAAUAAUGUCCAUUGCUUCAUUCCAGUCUGUGGGCCCAUUGGCUGUUGUAAGUGGUUGAGGCACCGAUUGUCUCUCCAUAUGAAGCUCAGAACCAUAAUUUUUCCUGGAGCUAAACACAUAAUUAUAACCAAUAAGGAAUCUGAGGCCAACAAAAAUGAGACGUUAUGCAUCACAAGUACAAUGAAACAUGAAAAACUAGAAAACUGAAGUUGUUUUUAAAUCGUUGCAAGAAAUAGGCAUCCCAUCUGAAAAUCAAAGAGUUUAGCAUAAUUUUUCUUUUUAUUUCCCCAGAAAAUAGAGCAUAGCACUCAUGGCAUCAAGUUACAUUACGACACCUCCUUGUUGGUGCAGAAGUGUCUCAAAGAUCAGAAAUAUCCAAAUACCUUGUUGAAAUUGUUCCAGACAUGGAUCUAGAAACUUCCCCACUUUGCUCAGCCACUUCAGAUCUGGAAUGAAAUUACAAAAACUAAGAUUAAGAAGUUCAAACUAUGGGGCAAAGAACACCAUACCACAAUGAAUUUUGUGACAAAGGAUCUCCCCAUAACUGGAAAACUCAACAUAAAAGCCAUAUAAUGUGCCAGGUUCUGUACAAUAUUCACAUACAUUUUCUUUUAAAUGAGAAACACUAAUCCACCAAUCCGUUUCAUCGAGAAAUGUAUCAAUACUAGCACAAGGAUAAAAAGGGGAAUGACAAAGUAAAGGUAGAGACCAUAGGUAGGUAGUAGGCUUUGGGCGGGAGAUCUAAAUGGGGAAAAUGUAGGUAGAAUGGAGGGGAGGAAAUUGAUAUGUCACAAGAAUGAGAACAGAGAGGAAGACAACCGUCUGUGACUGUCUCUGCGAUUUUGCCCUAGAUCUUUUGUAAUUCUCUCGACAUUUGGUAAUGCAAAGGUCAAUACCUUUCACAAUCAUUCAGAAAACAAUCACUCUAGUAGGUUUCACUAUCAGCGCAUGCCAUGUCACAACAUCAAACCGUUUGAAAAACAAACUACAAAUUAUUAGGUGUAACAAGGUACAUACUCAUAUUCUCUAAGAGGCCGUCUCAUAGCAGCUCUAGCUUCACCAGGUUUCCCUUCCUUCUUUUUCUCCAUUUCUCUAACCUGGAAUGAGUGCACAAUGAAAAUAGCAACUUGGUAGAAAAUAGACCAUGUAAUUCGUACUUUUUUUCUUUUAUAAGAAACUUAACUUUCAUCCAAGGUGUAAGAUAAAAAAACCUGAACACUCCACUUGACUAUUUAUACAAGUAAAAUAUACACAUGCAUGAUUAUUUAUACAAGUAAAAUAUAAACAAACCUUCCACUUAAAUCUAUCGUCCAACAUGCUUCUCUGAGCAUCUGUCAGUUUUCCCACAUAUCUCCACACCUCCUCACCUACAAAGAACAACAAACAUUUAGUUACAGCCAUUCCGAACAUUGUCACAACAAGAUACAAGGGUGAAAAAGGCCAAAUUAAGAUCGAUCUCUCGCUAACUCUAACAUGAAAAAUGAUGAAAUACAUUUUCUAACACGAGAUAAAUUUUCAUUGAAAAGAUGAAAAGAGGUAUUGCUCAAAGAUACAACUCCAGUGAAAAAGAACAAGGAUAUAAGAUACAGAGACCAUAACAAUCACAAACUUAGAAACUUAUUUGGAAUAGGCUUCCAAAAUAUUUUCUUUAAAAAAAACAGGCUUCCGAAAUCUUCAUAGGCAAAAGAAAUCAUAAUAUUCCUUAUCAGGAACUUUACUUGACGUUGCAAUACAAUAUUACAAACUGAAAUGUAUACUGGUAAAUAAAUGAAGGACAGAGCGUACAUGAAACACGUAUAUGUUUUUAUCAAAGGAUAUAAAGAGAACUUUCCAUAAACACACACGCACACACUCAACAACAAACUAUUUGGUCAACUGGAUGUAGAAAACAUGGGAUGAAGAUUAAAAAAAACAGGUGUAAAAGGGUUUUCAUUAUCAUCGGAUUCCUCCCGAUGGAGCAACGGCAGGCAUCAAAACUAACCAAGAAUCUUGUAUCCAGUAGCAAGUGUAUUUAGAGCAGCUUUCCUAAUUUCACCAUCACGUUCAGCUGUUAAGCUUGCAACAAGUUGCAAUGACCUCAACUGCCCACUAAUCUAGAAAAAGGAGGGGAAAACAAGCAUUUAGUUGAAACCAAAAAAUUCAAAUACACAAAAUUAGUCAAUGUUUCUACCUCAGAUCCGUAAUUAUCAAUUAAGAAUCCAAUAAGGUCAGCACAUUCAAUCCGAGUGCGAUUGUUCUUAGAACGUAAACCCUCAAGUAUGUAAGGAAACAUUUUCGUUGCAGAGUAAGCCUGUAUGAUUUGUUUUGUCAGCUCCCGCAUUUUUUCCUUCACUUUCUCAAUAUUGUGUCCCAACUGCAACAGGGUGCAAAUAAGUGUCUUUUCCAGAUGCAAAAAAAAUUAGAAUAAACAACAAAAACACUACUGUACAAGUAAACAAUUUAUGAAAGCAAUUUAACAUCUCAAUAUUUGCAAAACAACACACAUAAAAUUCCAUACAAUCAACUACUUGAAAGCAAGUCCAGAGCACUAUGAACCACCUUCUCUAUCAAGCACGGAAGGAAGAUAGCCGCUUCAGACUCAUUUAUACAGUACCCUUCAUCCUUUAAGAUCUCGAAAAGUUCAGGAAGAAACUCUAACACCUGAUUGUUUAUAUCUAAUUAGACAUCCCAGAUGGAAACAAUGUGUGCAAAAACAAAUUGAAACAAAAUAUCUAUUUAAGGAAUAUCAAAUCCAUACCUUUAAUAGACAUGUUGUGUUUGAUUUACAAAAUUGCAGAACAAACCACCUGAGUAGAAUAUCUAAAACCUCAAUAACAUCCUUUCCAAUUGAUGCAAGUGCCUGGAAAUUCAUGGAAGUUUGUAAACAUGACAUUUCGAAAUGUGCUGUGAAAUUAAAAGAUGGCAUUUCAUAGCAAAACACCUUUUGCAGCAUCUCUAUACCAUCAACUUGCUUCUUAAAGUCAGUGCUUAACAUCCUUCGCUGCAAAUCCUCCCUGAAAUAUUUCAUCAUAUCAUUCUGCAUAGAAACAAUGAUUCAGAAAUUAAAAAAUGUAUCAAAGUAAACAUUUGGAAAUUAAAACAAAAUAAAAUUCAUUCAACAAGUACAGAUUCACAGCACAACUAUAUCCAAACCUCCAGAUCUUGAAUCUGCUCUAUGCGUGGUUCUUCAAACUUGAACUUACGGACUAUUAUUCUCUCUCUUUCCUCCUGCCAAUAAACAAGUUAAUCGAAUGAAAAACUAAACCAAAUCAUUGACAAUAUCAGAUUUGAAGGUUGAUCAGAAGAGAAGCACCUUAUUUGAGUCCUUGACAUUUAACAAAGCCUGUGAUUGAACGGCCAAAUCAUGUGCUGAUAUUAAGGAUUCGGUCCUAUUUCCCUUUGAAAUGGUGCCUCUCUAAAAAAAUAGACGGGCACUGUUAAGGGCAGACAAAAGGGACUAAUAGGGUAGCUAAAUUAGUUCGCAGAUAUUAAAAAUUCUACGGAGUCUAGCCAAAGAAACAUACUGAUGAUAUAGCUUUAUUUCCAUGCUUAGCAACACCAUUUGAAGUGGCCUUUCCAACCUUGAUAGCGUUUUUGGAUGGCAAGCUUGAGGUAACUUGUUUAGCUGAGUCAAAGGAUUCUGCGAGAAAAAAGUUGAACAUCUUAAUCUUAAACAAGACAGAAAUAAAAGUAACCUAUAGAGCAAGCAACAUACCUUGAAGAGCACCAUAGGGUCUUAGUCGUUCAAGAACAAGGGACAAACCGGGCCCACUAAUAUCCUUAACUACUUUUUCAACCUAUAGAUAACGAAGACAGAAAGCUCAGGGAAUACUCAUAACUCAACAGAAUAGUAAAUGCAGAAUAGUUUUCAUGAUGCCUACUGCUUCCUGUCGCCCAACCCUUAAAAUUUCAGUAAUGCAUGACUCUGCUGCUUUGCGAACAUCAGACGAUUUGUCCUAAAUUAAAUUUAAUUCCGUAAGGAUUACAGAAGGACAAGCAUACUAUAUGCCCAAAAAUUCCAACCAAAUUGUUUGCAAUAUAGUACCGUCAAGGCAGAGCAAGCUGGUUUUAGCAGCUGUAUGGCAUCAGAUGAAUCAUUGAUUCCAGAAAGCUUCCUUGACAACCAUUCCAAAAGGUCCUUCCGUCCUUCUGCACUGACUUUAUUAUCCACUAGAGCUAAUAUCAUAUAAGGAAUCUGAAGGAAGGACAAAUUGCUAGUCAUAUAAAGAUAGAUAUUGAUUGCAACUUUAAUAUGUAGGGAAAAGAAAUACCAUUUUAUCAAAAUGGACGGCAGCUAGCCAGGCAUCUAAAGCAGUCAAAGUGGCUUCCCUCAUAUGCUUCUUGUUGUCACCAAGACAUUUCAAGACAUCUGAUAGAACUCCCUGUGCACAAGAUAAAACCAUAACGAACUGUUGAAGUUCAACUUCCUAAGGGAUAAGAAACUAAGAAAAUACAAUCUAAGGAUCUGCGACAAACCUUGCCUGACUUUUCAACAGAUGGCCCCAUAGCAGAAGCAACAUUACCAAUGGUUGCCAAAGUUGCCAUUACCAAAUUUUUAUUGCUAUCAUACAAGCGCCCUCUUAAAGCUCCAAGCAGGUCCGCUGGCAAAGAUGAACAAAUGAAUAAUCAACAAACAGAAGACAAUAAUCAAAAUGGAAAAAGAAGAGGAAUAUGUCCAAAGUCAGUUACAUGUCCCAGUAGGUUGAAUGCGUUUGUUAGCUUCUUCCAACAUUUUAUUGACAGCUUCAAUAGACUCCAAACGAACCUGAAAUAUAAGAAAAGUAUAUUAAGCAAUAAGCAGUUCAAUAAAUAAUUUCUAGCAUGGUCAACUAUUAAACAGAAAACAGUAAACAAAUUCAGUGGACCACAAUUUUAAAACCAAUAAUAGUACCUUCCAGUCAGGACUUUCAAAAUUCUUCAGCAGUGUAGGAGUGAUCUUCCCACUAAUAUCUUCUCGUGGCAGGCCAUCUGUCCCGCUAACAGAUGUUGAUGAUGUUAGUUCUUCUGCCCUGACUGUUCUUUUUGGAGCGGCAGCGGUACCCUAAAAGAUAAUAGACAAAUGAACUCCGAAAAAGGUAGAAUCUAUAUUUGAAGUAUGUAUCAUCUAGAGCCUUGCAUACCUCAAAUGGAUUUUUUUCAAAUUCAGUGUCAAUUGCAGUAAGUAGUGCAGGUUUCACAUCUGAGAGAAAACCUUUAAGAUCUGCAAAAAUUGAAGGAAGGUUAGAGAAGAGGAAUUAUAUUAUCAAGGAUUCAAGUUAUGGUCCAAGAAACAGAAAGAAUGGAUCCAGUCACCUGGUCCAACAAAUUUAUGCACGCAACCCAAAAGCUUAAUAGUAACAUUCCUUGUAGCCGCAGCACUGGACUGAAGACCCGUUUCUUUACAGAAAUCAAUUAAAUCCUGUGUGAUUUAUUUUCAUCUAUUAAUAAAAAGGUCAUAUAUAGCAAUGAAACCCUAAAAUGUUCAGAAAGAAGAAUAAGAAUUCCAAUUUUCAAAGAAGAAGAGGAGCCAAGUUACCUUGAGUUUUAAAAGAGAUAUACCAAAGUCCUCAACAGCAGAAACCAUCCACAACAGUCCCUCACUAAGGACCUUCGGAUUUUUGUGCUCUUUCAUGAUUUUAAAGAGCUAAAAGUUCAAAGGAACAGCAACUUAAUACAUAGAACAUACAAGAAUACUGCAAUUACAUGAAACUUAUGUCUACUCCACUUUAUGCACAAAUGAAAACAAACAUGCAGCGGUAAAGAAAUAGGUAUAAAAGCGCAAAUAAGUAAAUGAAUUGUCAUAAUUAUAAUGCUGGUUUAUAGACCACAGAAACAUACUCUUUCAAAAAUAAAUCCUGGACCAACUGCUUCUGAAAAAGUCGUAAGGCACUUCAUCGCUUGAACACGAGUUUUAAUAUCUGCUACACGUUCACUUAUACCUAUCAAGUACAUAAUAUAUAUGCAUUCAUAUUUUCAUUGGUUAACAAUGUGGAAUAAGAUAUCACCAAAAAAAGAAUAAUAAUAAUGUAGAAAAAAAGGGACAUGACGCAAAGUGAAGCCUUCCUAUUUUUCUUGCAGCUGAAUUUUCUAGUCUUUCCACACUUAAAUAAAUGAAAUUUCUAGUUCAGUUAUUACAGCAGUUUCAAGCUAAGGAGCCUUUGAGAAAAGCUGAAGACAGAAUCAAGCAGCUAUUGUUUGGUCAAAAUUGUGCCAACACACACUUAAAAGAACUUUGCCUGGUGUAUUUGGUUGAAAAGAAACUAGAGAAUUUUCAAAUGUAAAGAAACGAGAUUGAAAUCUCUAAGUUGGCUCAGUUUCAUAGGUCUUCAAUGUAAUUCCUUUUCAAAAUAUUUUUCUUAAUGGUUGUCACCAGUUAUAUGCAUUGGGUUAUAAUUUAAACCGGGCUGGAUUUAACUGCUAAUAUAGUUUAUCUUGAGAAUUGUUAGCUUUUCUUCUCUCAAAAUUAACCAAAUUGUAACUAAUCAGCUGGAUUGGUGAAAAUGAGUUUGCUUACAAAAAUUAUUCUAUCAAGAUUAAACAUGUUUUAACUAUUGCAAUGGUCCAAGCUAACCACCUGAAAGGCAGAGUACAAUGCACUUUUUGGGAAAUUUUUUUGCUGUGGAGGCUAUAUAAGUAAUGACUUCAAUAACCUGUUGCUGAACCUGCAUCAUUGAGAUUGAGCACAUAAAUAUAUAAUAACCCAGCAAAGCAAAUAAAUAAGAGAAAUGUCAAGUAGCAAAGUUAGAAUAAAACCUGAACAUUUUUCUCACUCCAACCAGGGAUAAUGCAUAGUAAACGAACGAGUAUCUCAACUGACGGGUUAAGAUCUUCCAAACCUUCCACUUGUUGCUUCAGUGAAGAUAUUGCUGAAAGAAUAAGUUGAUACUUUUAAGAAGUUGAUGCAUUAAAAUAUCAGUCCGUUGCACAUCCAAAAAAGGGAAAGACCCCUGAAAAGUAAAGCUAGAAAUAUGACGUUGUAUGAACCAAUAUGGCAGUCCCACAUUGGCUAACUUUUAUUCUUUUAAUAACUAUUAAUAGGUUUUUCUCCAUUUAAGCAUCACAACUAAAACAUAACUGUUGUUAACUAGACAACUAAUGUUGGUUAGUCGCUAGGUUUGAAAUGGAGAGAAAAGUGAAAGGCAAUUAUUAAUGUAGCAAGAUAAAUUCCAGAAACAAAUUGGUCCUUUAGCAUUCAUUAGGAGUAAAAGUGACAUAGAAAUUUUGAGACAAUAAGAGUAACGAAGGAAAAAGGAAUUUGACAUAUUGUCUAUCUUGCUAUGACAUUAAGAAGAGAACCUUCAAGUCUUUCUUUCCACACAGUGCUUUUCAACUGAGAAACUGUAUCUGCUUCAAUAAGAGAACCUAAUUUGCUCUCCACCUCUUCAAGGCUCAUUUCAGCCGGCUACAAAUGUUCAAUGAAAGCAGCAAGAACAGUCAAUACAUAAAAGAGCGGCCAACCAUAAACAAGGAUAUUUUUGUAAGAAUCAAAACAAUAAAAUCUUUUUUGAUCUUCUAAAAACUAAAACAAAUUAAAUAUUACAAUUCCACCUGGAAUUCGAUAUGAGAAUAAACAAAGCUCCAAUCAACAUUAUAUUCUUGGAACAAACAAAUAAAUAAAUUUGGAACCAUGCAACUGCACACAAUCUUGAAGCAGCCGAAGAAACAUCAAAAAUGCCAACCAACCAAAUCCAUGAAUCGACAGCACAUGCUAGACAAGUUUUAGAUUACCUCAACAUCUUCUGGAACUUCAAUGGGCUUGGAAGAUUUUGGUGGUGCACCACUAGGUACACUACCAUCUGCUUUCUUAUUGGUGCCUGAUUUUGCCAAGUUUCCUUUUUUACUAGAAGGCUGGAAAAUAAAAAUAAACCUAUUACGAUAUAUUAUAAUGACAAGAAAGUACUGCAUAAAAAGUGAAUAAAUUUCUUUGCCUUCAAAACCAGAACACUUGUAAAUUUUACUCACAGCUGCCUGUGCAGGCCUCUUUCCACUAAGCAUGCUGGCUGCAGAUUUUUUGACAAAUAAACCAUCUGAAUCCUGCAUAAAUGUUUGAUCAGAUAUGUUACCAUUAUAUAAUAACUAAGAGAAUAAACAAAAAAUACUUGAAGAAUUUUCUGGAAGGAAAAGUUAAAUUAUUGAUGAAAAGAAAACAGAUACUAGCAGAAUAGAAAAGGAGAAAAUAGGACCAAGACAGACUAAGAUAAUAUCAUGUGGAGACAAACCAAUACAAGAUCCAACUGAUUGUUAACAAUGAAGGCAAAGUAAAUAGGAACCAACAUGCCAAAACCGGAAGAGAGAGAGAGAGAGAGAGAUUCAAUCUGGAAAGUUCACAUCUUUGAUGACAACUUAUCAUUUUACUCUUUAUUAUUAUUUUUUAUUGUUUCAUUAUAACUAACAUAAAUACAAGUGCUUUUUCUUUUUCUAAUCAUGGAAUUUCACAUUAUCACACACACAUUGAAUAGAUCCCACAAGACAGCCCAACUUGACAGGAUUAAGUAUCUAAAUUCAUAGAAAAGCAUAUGGGUUUACAGCUAUGACCCUUAAAGGCAACUUCCAUGGUUUAAAGCUAUGACUUGUAACCGUAAGGUAUACGCCUAACAGCUUGCCCAUUUAAUCAAGGCACCAAGUAAUCCAAUUUGUAUAUGAUAUAGAAAUGAAACGUUGUACCCUCUCAUUUUCCCAGAAAGCUUAGGUUCUUAUAUUAAAAAAUGAUAUAGAAAUGCAUCAUUCAUUUGGAUUCAUAAACAGUUAAAGUUUAAAUCAUUUUAAUGUAGACUGCUAUUAAUAAUAUUUCAUGAAAAACUAUAUAGACUAAAUACAGCAACAAAGCAGGGAACAUAGGUAGAAACACAUCUUAAUAUCUAUGACCUACCGAAACCGAUGGCAUGCUUGCUCCAGGAACUGGGUUUGCUGCAUUGCCACGAGACAUACUUUAGAAAGUUGACAUUAAAUAUAGGAGAGCAAACUUCGUCAAAAGUUGUGUGUGAGGUGGUGGAGGGGGGGGGGGGGGGGGGGGGCAUGAAAGUUAGAAAAUCAAUGAAAGAAAUUUUGAUGAAGUAAUAUUAAAUAUUUAAUCAAAUGUCGAAUUACUAGAAUGUCAAUAACCUGAGCCAUUAGAGGGUACGCUGCUUUCAGAGCCCAUAAUCAUCUCAGAUAAUCUCUUCCUUCUCACAUCAUCAAGUUUCUCCACGGACUUCUCAAGAGGUCUCAUGCCAACCAACUAUCAUAGUGAAAGAAGAAAGUUUGUUAAAGCAGCCGUAAUGUCAUAUCAUAGUCCAUACCUAGUUCUCUCUUUUAAAACAUUCUGUUACGGCUAGUUUAGGUUGUGAUUUUACCUGUAAUUGAGUUACUAUUGGGUUAAUGGGUUGGGUCUUUUAUUAUUGGGCCAACUAGUGUAAAUGCCCAACCUUUUGUAUCCAAUUGGUUUUUUAAUAGAAAAUUUGGUUAUUUUGGUUAAAACCACACGGAGGCAGAGAAUUAUCUUUUAAAAGUACAUAAAAUAUAUAGUUGACUAAAAUUACUUACCUUAGCUACUGCUGCCAAAGCCAAAAAUGCAGCAUCCCUCACUUCAGGGGUUCCAUCAUUAAGGCUCUAAAAUGAAGAAAACAAUUUAUAUUAAGAUUCAAUAGUAUAAACAAAGGGGUAGAGCCUAAAGAAAGGGAAUAAUAAUAGAAAGUGUUAGUAGUCCAUAGUCAGACACAUACACAUAAAAAUGACAUGAGCAUUAAGUAGCAUAGUUUAUGCACACUGUCCAUAUGAAUAAGUAAUGAUACUUGUUCAAAACGUUUGAAAAGAGAUUUAGCUUUCCUUUCCAACAGGAAACUAAAUUGUUAGGAUACUAAACAAAAUUGCUCGGCAAGCUUCAAGAAAAAGAGGGUUUAACUCGCUAAGUGGCAACAAUCACAGAAAUAGAGUAGUUUGCAAAAUAAAUUACAAGGAAGCAAAAGAAAAAAGAAAAAACAGAAGGAAAAAAAAGUAUCCCCUCCGUAUAUAUCCAUGUCAUAGAACUGUCUUGCUUCUCCCUAUCAGAACUUCCCAUCUCACAGCCUCAACCAUGAAAAAAGAUGAAAGAAUUGAAAGAGAAACAACCGUGAAAAUUUCUGAAAUAGUUAAGAAUGCACAAGAUGAAAACCAGAAAAAGAAACAGAAAAAACAAUACUGAAUUAACUAUAGAAGAAGCAUGUGAUUCACUGACCUCCAUAAAUAUAGGGACAUAUUCCUUAUGCACCUUCAGGAUAACAGCUUUGUUACUAGUUUCAAUACAGAAAGUAACCCAGCUUAAAGUUGAUGAGCGCACAAGAGGAACUUUGUUUUUGCUUGCUGUCUUGACAUCUGCAAGAAAAGUAUUGAUUAAAAAUCAUUGCCACCAUGUUCAACUUGGGAAAGAAUGGCAAAAAAUUAUUCUUCAAUUGAAAAUGAUAUAAGGUUUAAUUCCGCGGCUUUUAUGUUGAGGACGUUAAAAACAUCAGCUUUUGGAAAGAUAGUUGGUCUGAGUCAGUCUCAACCCCUUGCACUUCCUAGAUGUUUUUCCUUAUCUUUGAAUAAGGACGCUUUUGUUGCUGAUUAUUGGUGCACCGUCAGUCACUCCAGGAAUUUGGGUCUAAGAAGAAAUGUGUUGGAUAGUGAAUUUGACAAUGUGACUGCUAUUCUGGAAAUUCUUCAUUCAUGGGCUCCAAUUGGUGAGCGCGUAGUCUUAAAUGGAAGCUCAAUGCUUCUGGAAAUUUCACUACAAAGUCGACCUUUCUAAACUUAACCAAAAGAUCUCCCACUAUCGCCUUACACUUGGUGCACAAUAUUUGGAGGAUAAAGUCCAGAAAAAGGUCAAGUUCUUCCUAUGGUCUCUAGCUUAUAGAAGCCUUAAUGCUCAUGAUAUGCUCCAAAGAAAGUUUCAUCAUGCUGCUCUUAAUCCAUCUAUGUGCUGCCUUUGGUUUAAUAAUGAGGAGACCUCAAACCACUUAUUCCUGCACUGCGAUUUCGUAUGAAAGCUGGUCUCUGAUCUUCAGAACUUUCAAUCUGGAUUGCUGUCUUCCUAGCAAGUUUGAUACUUGGAUGAUUGAAGGGCUCAAUGGCAAAGUUUUUCAUCCAAAGGGUAACAUGCUGUUAUGUUGCGCUACUUGAUCUCUUUCGUGGAGCAUUUGGAAUGAGUGAAACAGUAGAACUUUUUGUUUCUUUUUGGACUGUGGUUCACCAUCCAGCGUCUUGGUGGAGUACCAAUUACACCAAACACUUUUGUAAUUAUAUCCUUUCUAUGAUUUUCAACAAUUAGAAGGCUCUUAUUUAUUAGUUUCUCUCGACCCCUGCCCUUAGACUGAUCUCUUUUGUUUUUUUUAAUAUAUCCGUUUCUUGAAAAACAAAAAAGGAUUGAAAAUGAUAUAAGGUAAAUUAAUUAGGGAUGAGAGACAAAAGUUUGAACAGCUAAAACUAUUCUCAUUUUUCUGUCUUUUUGGAUUCUGGUAAGCAUCCACGCAAACUAACCAAGAACACCAUAUAGUUCUAGAGAAAUGUGUUCACGGAGAAACCUAUAGGAUAUCAUUUUAAUAAUACUUUCUGUUAGUGCAACAAUUGGAGGGCAUUCUAAAGGAUCUAUUACAAUAUCAGAUAAGGUUACAAUAAUUUAGACCUAAAACCUCAAGGACAUUUGCCUUUGUAACUUUCACUUUCAUUGUUUAAGCAACCAAUAGUAAUGGAAAUAGUCUCCUCAUUUUCUCCAGCCAAGUUUACCACGAAAAAGAAAGUGAACAAGUAUUGGUAACUGUGUCAAAUAAAUUGCCGCAGAGGCAAACCUAAAAAGUUGCUAUUUGAUGAAUCUAACAAAUUGAACUCACCUUCAAUGACGUCAGAAAGACUUAGGCACCCAGCCUUAUGCAUCGCUUGGAGAGUUUGAGUUAAGGACUCCAUUAGAGCAGGUUUUUUUUCUUUUAAUUUUUCCUAUAAAAACAAUGAGAGCAAGUUGUUAAGCAUGCUAUGAAGGCGAGUGCCAAAAAGCAUAAGAAAAAAAAAUUAUUAACAAAAUUUACCACUAACAUAGAAAAAAGAUAUAAAUCGUUGUGGCAUGUAAAGCAAAUAUAUUGAUUGUGAUAUCUAUAAUAAUUUACUGGAGGAAAAGUUGAGCUAAUAUACAUACAAGUAAAACUGGCAAUAGGAAUCGUGAACUCGCAGAAAAGUUAGCUCUGAGGCCUCUGGAAAGAUUGCCAAUAGCUUGAAUGGCUUCAACAGCAACAGCAAUGUUCACAUCCGUGAUCAGCUGCAAUGUUUUUUCAAUUUUUUGUUGGUAAGUCAAAUAGUGGAACCGGAACUCAUUUUUUAUGCAUGUAAGUUUUCUUCAACAAGUGCAAGCAAAUUCAGGUAUACGGCUGUCCAAAAAAAUCAAUUCAAUCUCUGGGAGAGAAAACAGGGCCACGUGGAAGAUAUCAUACCUUUUUUAAAGUUCUACAAACUUCUGAGAAGUCACCGGGCGCAAUCUUUCUUGUUGAAGCAAGUUUGCUCAGUUCAGCAACAGCCUCUUUUCUUUCUGACCAUUUUGUAGCUUUCUGAAAAAAACAAGGAUAAACAAAUAAGUUUGUGGGGGUAGUAAAAUUAGUGCAGUUCAGAACUACAAACAUUAAGUUUAAUGGUUGAGUACAGAAUAUAUAUUUGAAAAGAAAAUAUAUACUGUAAGACAAAAGAUUAAAAUCACCAACCACGCCAUCCCAAAAUCCUGACUUCUCCAAUGGAGUCAAUAUGUCUACUGGAUCAACAAGAUCGUAUUCAUCUAUUUCCUGAGGAACUGACAAUUGAAGUGUAUUAGUCUUUUUUCAAAAAAAAAAAAAAAGGAAAAUGAAUUUUUUGUUGAUAUAAUGAAAAUAGAUUAAUGCUCAAAGUGACAUUAACCUAUGAAAGGGAAAAUAGAAAAAUAAGCAAAAAAAAAAAUUAAGUGUAUUGGAGUGUUAGAACUAGAAGCUUGUGACUAAUAAAUGCUUUGUUCAAUACAUAGCAUUAAACAAACAAAAAUUAAUCAAUAAAUGAAUAAAAUAGUCACACAAACUUCUGCAUACCAUCAGCUACAGAUUCUUCAGAAGGUCCUGUACCGACAGCCUCAGAAGUAUCUUCCUUUUCUGGUUCUUUGUCUUGCUCGGACCUAACUAAGUAACAUAAUUAAUCUCAACACAAAUACAAUAAAGAAACCUUUAAAAUGGUUGCUAUGGAAGAGGUACAUAUAAAAAUAGCUAAUUUGGGAUUUAUAUAAGAGACAUGCAAAAUCCAGAACUAACUACAGAACACUGAUCAUCUUGUUAAACGACAAAGAACAUCUUGGUAAGCAAUCAAUAGAGAAAAUGUUAGUAUUGAAAAAUAAAAUGAAGUUCUAAAUUUGAAGAAUUUGAGGAAUUAAAAAAAUCAUUUGAACAGUUUAAAAUGAAGUAGAAGGAAGAACAACAGAGAAGGAGCUGAAUAAAAGUUAAUUGGAGUAAAAUCACAAAUAUUAUGAUACAUUGGCUAGCAUUAGCAGCAGACGCUGAAUUUUUUGUGGUAUUAUGCUAUCAUUAUACCUUUGCAGCAAAAAGCUUCAUACAAGAUAAGCACCAUAAGUUUAGUCGUCCACCCACCAAUCAUCUGUAUACCACCCACAAUACUCUACAGCUUGCUUGUCCUCUCUUUCUCUACAUUUAACUUUUCUCCCAUUCUUUUACUCUUUUAUCCAUUCCUCCUCUUUUUAUUUUACAUAUGCUGUCGACUACCCCCAUGUUUCUUCCUUUCAUUUUGUUUCCCUGGGGCAAGCCCCACUAAUAGAAUGCAAGAAGCAUGUGUACGUAUAACUCAUGAGAGUCUUCAGAAAUAGCAAAAUUUUCAAGUUAUUCUCAAAUUAACAAUCCAAUGAACUGUUGACACAGCGACAAUAUUCAACUGAUCAUCAUAACUAUGUCAGACUUAUUUACAAUUUAAAAAAAUUAUAUCUUAAAUUGAUAAAAGAAAAUUUACCUUGUGAUGUAUUUAGUUUGUGCUCACUGUUUAGUUACUGUUACUAUCUUAAAUGUGUUCUGAUAUUUUAGAAGCUGUAUAAUUAGGCUGAUGUAAUUUUUUUGCUUUUGGGUUUUAGUAUAAAAAUCCUUAGUUUGUCAUUUUGUGUUUUUUAAUAAUAAAAAAUUCCAAAAGAAGAUUUUUGGUCUCUUUUACGUGUUUUCUGUCCAAGAACACAGACACACACCAAACACACCACCUUGAAUCUACCAUCGGUGUUAGCAAACCCAAAAAAACAAUUGCCAAUGUCCUAGUAAAAAUAAGAACUGGUUCAUGCAAUUUCACCUUUGUCACCUCAUAGGCUCAGAUAAGAGUUUCAAUAGUUCCUCUUUGGUUAUUUCCUCAAUAAAGAUAAUUUCAUAGAGUAUUAGAGGACUUAGGUUCCUUCAAAGUGAUUUGUUUUUCUUUUAGAUCUUCAAAAUCAGUGCCUAGAUAUGGUCAUAAUUCAGGGAGAUAAAUAUCGGAACGGUUGACAGAAAAUGGGUAGAUCAACUUGGACCCAGUUGGCAGGCAAAUGAAGGGUGUGAAUCGUGACUGCGAGAGAAAGAACAAUAUUGUUGAAGACCUUGGUAUGCUGAAAUUACAUCUAUUCACAGUGUGGCGACGCAACUUCUCACUCAUUAUUUGACAGGUUAUCUGUUUAUAAGGAAUCGGACAAUCUAUUUUUUAAUUCCUGGUUUUUAAGACUAGCUUUUUUCUUUUUCCAUGAUCAGCCCCAAAAUAGCUGUGAGUAUCUAAUGAAGAAUUUUAUCAAAAACUAGAUUAAUUGGUGCAGCUAUUUGGAUCUUAAAAUUAGCCUUCCGAUUCCAUCCAUGCAGCAGAGAGUGUAUCAUUAGAAUUUUCUACUCGUGGAUUUAUUUUUUAUUUUUCGAGGAAAACAACAAUUUAGAGAUUCCUGCUUAUUUUCUACCAUAAGAAGUUUCUGAAAUUUUAGUUAGAGUGAAGCUCCUUCUGAAGAUUAUCAGUUGUGUCUUUGCUUUGUUAUUUGUUAUUUGUUUUUUAUUGUUUGACUUUUAUCUUCUUAUAUUUUUGGGCCCUUGUUUCUUUUUUACUGUAUUGUCUUCCUUCAUUUCCAAUGGAAACUUGUAUCUUUUUAUCUUCCUUUUCAUAUAGCAAUGAAAAGUAUUUCACGUCAAAAAAUGUCAUUUAAACCACAACCUGAACAAUAUAUUACAUUACUUAAAGAAGAAGAAGAGAAAAUCGAGAGGAUCCAGCAUAGUAGUAAUUGACAUGCUAGCCAUUCCAAUGAAAGAAAAAAUGAAGUGAACACGGCAAGUGAAUUAUGGCAGCUUAGAAAGCAUGAACUAGUCACUAUCAGGCUAAUAAUAAUAUAUUUACAAAAAAAAUAGUGCACUGGCAAGAAUGUAAAAGGACUAGAUGUUAACCUUAUUUUUCGAGAAGGCCUAGCAGACCCCGUGACAUUGACAAGCUCCGCCUCCAACUCUUUUUUCUGAAAAUUCAAGAUUAAAAAAUUAUAUUACAAUAAGAAACUGAUAAAGAACGUUAUAUAAAUUAUUAGCCAUCAAUAUUGAUCAUACCAUUGUAUCCCUCAUUUUUUCAAACAAAAUCGACUUUACUGGGUCUUUCCCAAUCCAACGACAAAGCUCAAGCGUCAACCCCUUAGAAGAUGCACGAACAUUUUGAUCUUGAUGGUCAAAGAGUUCUGGAAGCAUCUUUAAAAUUCGUUUUGGAGGAACAACUUUUGCUCCAAAGUCACUAUUUUAGAAAGGAAAGCCAUAGAUGAAUUACACAGUAAAAAGUAAAAAUAAAUGAUAAAAUUCAAAGUACAAACCUCAAAGCUUGAAACAUGACAUCAAUAGCAGGUACAACUGCUUUUGCAACUUUAUUCUUUAUAGCUUUCUCCAUUGCAUCCUAUAUUAGCAUAAGCCUUCUAGUGAGAUACAAGAACAAACCUCAAUGCAUACAUAUAUACAUAUAUAUCUUCAAAUUAAUUGAAAUUGCAGUUUGUGUUUGUUUUUCAUUUUUAAAAAAUGAAAUAUAUAAAUGCGAUCCAUAGAAAAGAAAAUCCAGUUCACCAGAAAAAUCAUGCAAGCACACAGAAAAAAAUUUAAAAGUAGAAGAAGAAAGAAAGAAGCAAGAUAGUUUGUAUUGAGAAACAGAAGCCCAUGCUAGACUCAAAAAUAUACCCUAGUACAUUGAAUCGAGGAAGCCAUCAACAGACAAAGUGAGCUUAGCACCAUUAGAUGGACUUCAUAAUAUUAUGCUUUGGCAGCAUAAAAAUCAGUGAAACUUUUUAAUUGGAAGCAAUUUUAAACUUAGCCUUCAGUGAAAGCAACAAUCAAUAUAAACUCUCUUAAUUUUUCUUCAAUAAAUUCAGUUUCUACUUUCCAGUCAUCAACGAUGUGUAACUAGACAUCAGCUGAUCAUCCACUUCACUCUCCAAGAACUCCCAUCUAUUGUGAAAAAUGGAAUUUCUCAAAAGGUUUGACUUUACCAAGCCCUCGUGUACAAAGUUCGGGGACCUCUCAUGGUGGAGGACAUCUUAAAUAAACACUGAAAAUGGGGACCAAAUCUCAUUGUACAAAGUUUGGUAGUCAAGUUAGCAAAAUGAUCAAACAUCGAAAGUAGGUUGCCUAAAUGGUUUUGACAAGGGCAUUUGGUUGAUCUAAGGAAAAGGUGACCUAUACACCAAACCCUGAAUAUUAGUAAAAGAUAAAUCUUUUGAAGGCAUCUUUCUCAAAGGAAAAAAAUAUCUUUUGAAGGCAUGUACACAUUAUUGUCAUUUUCAUAUAAGAGACCAAGUUCUCAUGAAGAUCAAACAAAAAAAAUAAUAGGCAAAUUGGAAACUAAAAAUAAAAGGCAAGGGCCCAGUUAAACAAACAAGGGACUCUAGCAAGGCCACACCAUAAGGCCUCUCCAGCCCGAUGUUUUUAAAGGCUCAAGGCACACUAAUGCACAAUGGUCCUCUAGAACCUAGGCGCAAGGCACACUAAUGCACAAUGGUCCUCUGGAGCCUAGGCGCAAGGCACACAAAAAGGCGCGGGCUUUUUUUCAUGAGGCGCACUAUAUAUAAAUAAUAUGUGUGUGUGUGUGUGUGUGUGUGUGUAUAUAUAAGUAUAUGUAUAUAUACAUAUGUAUCUACAAAAUUGAAAGGAGCAACAAUGUAUAAAAUAUAAAUAUAUAAGCAAGGUGGAAAUGAGACUUAACUAUAAUGUACAAAGUAUUACAAUAUUAGUUUUCAACCCAAAAAAACAAAACACUAACAGAAAACUAGUCAGCAUUCAACAACAAUCAAAAUAUAUAUAAUAAUUUAUUUUUUUAUUAAACUCUAGCCCACAUAUUCUUGAAAAGCACAUGCCUAUUGCGCCUAUUGAGCCUCAAAGAAGCACCCUUCUCACGAAAGAGGGAUGAUGAAGAUGUCCUCCACCAUGAGACUACACCAUCAUGGUCGAGCCAAUUCCAAUGGAAUAGUGCACGAAUGCAUUAUACUAUUAUUAUUAUAUUUAUUAUUAUCGGAAAUAAACAAGUAGUUUCAAAAUUAACUUUGAUUACAACAUUAAAAUGGCAGAUAAGUUUGAAGUUUUACCCCUGGUAAAUUUUAAAAAAAUAAUAAUAAAUAAAUAAAGCCUCCAUUACCAGGAAAACAUGUAAAAACAUCCAAAUAGUAAAAUUCUCUAUAGGUUUCAUUAGCCACUCGCAAUCCUAAAAAACUGUUAUGUAAUGAAAGUACAUUUUCUAACGCAAAAGAUAAACGGCUAAAAUAAAAAUGCCACAUUCUGAAAUCGAUGAUUGAAGCUAUGAGAUGCAUAGAAAAAAAAAUUACCAGGAAAACAUCCGCGGCUUCGAGUUCUACCCACAACAUAAAAACUGCUUGGGCCUUCUCCACGGUCUUAGGUCUACCAGUUAAGCAUUUUGCAACAAUUGCGUCACAAGUUUCUUUGGCAAAUCUAUAAACGAAAAUUUCCAAAAGCAAACACAAUCAGAACAUUCACUGAUAACUCUAAAUCACCAGAAACACAAAUGUAGAUGACUAAAAAAAGUUACACGUUCAGGUAGAAAAACAAAAGAAUUCCCACCUCCCCGCAUCUGCGUCAGCAGCUCGUAAGUAAGCAAUUAACGCAUCCAGUGCCUUCUCUUGCACUGGUGCAUUAGAAUCCGCAACGGUCUUCCUAAAUAACGGACCUAAAGAAAUGAGAAACAAAAUGCAUGAGCAAAGAUCUAUAGCAAUCAGUGCACUCGAUCGUCAACACUGAGCUCCAAAGCCACGAUACCAGAUCUAAUAAGUGGAAAUAAACCUAAGUAGACUCACCAAAUUCACGGAGACGAGAAUCCUUAGGAUCCGUAAUGGAGUCGCAUACGGCAGCUAGAUCAAUGUUGGCUUCGUUCCUGACCUUCCAAUUCUUGUGGGAAAGCCGAUCCUCCCACGGUAGUUUCUUCGCCUCCUUGAGCAGUUUCUCUUCCUCCGACAUUUUCACUAACUAUUGAUCCUAUCUACAAAAAGAAAAACAAAUGCAGAAUUGGCUCUAUCUCUACAAUCCUCUCCGGCAAAUACCUGCAACAGGUAGAAGAGAGGAGGGUGGAGGAACAAAUGCUUGGAAGCGAUGCCCUAAAUCGGAGGAAACAAACAGAGAAGGAAGGGGAGGGGAGAGAGAAGAAGCGAUGGGGGGAGGAGAGAGUGGAAGAAAGAGAUUUUGCUCUUCCCUUUUUUCGUUUCUCAUUCCCUGUGAGGCAGAAGGGUAUUUUGGGGUGUACGCAUUCGGGGAAAGCCAUUUCCCCAGUCGUCGGCCUGCACCCGUGUCAGCACAAGCCAAUCAUAAAAUGACAACGUGGCAGUAAAAAGCGGGUGGUGUUGCCAACAUUUAUCUUGGCGCGUGAAGUAAUUUUAUAUUUAAUUUUACAAUGGUUGAGCGGUUCAAAUUGUAGGGUCCAUGGGUGGGGUCCGAAACAAAGCUAUAAACAAGACUAUAGUGAGACUUGAAGGGGAGCGGAUACUGAUCCAUUCCAACUGCCCGUUGGAUUUUCUUUUUUGUAUUAAUUCUGAUUUUAUUUAAAUUAGGCCAUUCGCGUUUUCAAACCCUUCAAAAGCUCCCAAAUGCCCAUUUUUCCAAUUAACUCCCCCUCUCAUUUCUCCGUUGUUAUUUUAAAUUUCUUCUCUUUCCCUUCUCUUAAUACUAUUUAACAACUUAUCAAAUUAAUAUUUCCAUAUCAAUCAAUAAAUCAUUUUUUUUAAUAUUCUUUCACCAAAAAAAUAUAUAAAAAACAAAAAUCAAUUCUUUUUUAAUAUAUAUUGUAAUUUAAUUAUUCAAAUACAAAAAUCGAUGAUGUGAUGGAGCACGUGUCACAUCUCACCCCACCCUUGAUUGGUAUGCAUGAUGUGGCAUGAAUUGAGUAUCUCUCACGCGUUAAAUGUCUUUAGAUUCUUAAGCUUACUUAAUUGCCUGGUAAUUUUUCUUUGUCUUAACUUGGAAGCCUAAUUAAACUUUAGGCGCUAUGAAUAACUUAACCUUGAAUGAAGACAAAACAAUCUUUGUUAACCAUUACAAAACGUUUUACAACAAGCUUUGCAAUAUAACACAAACACAACUCUUAAAAUUUAAAAAGCAAAACAACAUGCAUCUCUUAUCGCCUAGCAAACUUUUCACAUUUUCCUUAUUUUGGUCUUAAUGUUUGAUGUCCAAAAGAUAAAACUUUAAAACAUAAGUCAUAAUAUUCAGUGAAGCUUUAAGAAGUCGUUUUUGUGAAAUACCUUUCGUAAUAUUAUUUUCAUAAAACAUAUCAAAUCACAUAAAUUCAUCUUUUCAUAUAAACAUGUCAUUUCACAUCUCUCGUCAAAUAUACAUUUCACAUGUCACACGUUAAUCGAGUCAUUCCUUUGGCCAAUUAUAACAAAUUAUUAUUUAUGCAAGGGAUUUAUUAUCCCGCAUUUAGACUACUUAAAUUGUCUUUUCACCAUCGAUACAUGAGAAUUUUUCUUGAUUAGUUACUGUUGCUCAGUCCGCUAAACACAAUGCAAUCAUUUUCUAUAUUGGUCAGCUUCACUCCACCAUACAAUCUUUUUCUACAUGUAUGCCUUUACAUUUUUUUAUGUUCACACAAUAGUUAGUUCAUUAAUAGGAAGUAAGUCGAUUGUUUGAAUACCAUUUCAUGAUCACACAAACUUAAAACAUGAUUUAAAACAUAAUAAACAUGCUUAAACCAUAUAAUAAACUUUGGUUAUGAAUCUCUUUGAAAACAUUCACGUCGAAAUCAUCAUUUUAAAUCAACAAUACUUUAAAAUAUUUUGAAAUAAAAAAUACUAAGAAUACUUAAAUACUUAACCUCAAAAUGACUCUUUUCCUAUUCUUCUUGCGCAUACACGAUGGAAGCAUUUAAACUCUCGAGUUUUCCUCUAAAAAAAUAUUCAUAAUAACAAUACUAAAAAAGUUGGCUAAAGCUCUAUAUUUAUACUACUUCCAAAUUAGCUUAAUUACCCUUAAAAUCUUGUUAGCUCGCCAACUCAUACUUUUAGUGGUGCACGUGUUAGCUUCAGAUUUAACUUAAACAUGCUUAUAAGAUUUUCGAGAAGUUUCCUUACUUGAACUUCUUAUCGCAAAGUCUUUAUUCUCUCGUAGUGUGCAUAACAAUACUUUUUCUACUAAGAGUCUUAUCGCAUAACCUUGUUUUCUAGCGUACUACGUCAAAUCACCAAUCUCUUACUGCCCCAACUCCAAUCAAAACACAUUCUUUUAACACUUAGCCAAAGUUUUGCCUUUCUUAGGUGCGAGUCUUGCGGUGUUAACCAUAUGUAUCAACCAACUAAAUACGAUGCACGUUCAUUUGGACUUGAUUGAUCGUUUAUGCAUAUUUUAUUUUAUUUUCUCCACUUCAAUAAUAUCAACAUCUAUACUUUGUAUGCAUGAUAUUUGAUAAAAAUAAAUAAUUGACACAUACAACAACAAAAACAAUAAAUCCAUGAAUACACACAAAGUCAUAGUUGAAAACGUGACAGUGCAAGUCCAGUAAAAACGAGUCAACACCAGUCAUACCAAAACGUCCAACAGUGCAUGUUUUACUUAUAUUGAUCUCCAAUAGAUAAUAUUAGGUAUAAGAUACGACCCUACAAGACCUCCCAUGGUGCAUGCUUCACUCAUUUAGGUACAAGAUACAACCAAAAAGGUGUUUGGUUUCAACAUUUAUGAACCUUAUACAAAAGAUCUAAUCAACUAUGCCUAUAGAUACACCGUAAUAACUACUAGGAGAAAAUAAUUUCGUAGACCAAUAUACCAUAUCUUUAAAUAUUUAUAAACUCACCGCGACUUAAUACCUAGCAAAAACAAUAUGUAAAAAGGUAAAAAAAAAAAAAAUGGAAAAAUAAAAAACGAGGCUUGAAGAUUUCACGUAUUUAGCGUAGUCCAAAUUCCGUAUCCCAUAAUUUAUUUACUAAUUAUAAUUAUCUUCAUAAACAACGGUCCAACGGAUUCUUAAAUAACUGUUUAUAGAUAACUAACACAGUUUGGUCAAUUAAUUUGAGUGAUUUACACUAAACAACAAUGGUCCAAGUGUUUAUUUCCCUAUAAUCUGAGUAGCGGACGUGGACAGAUCUUUUUUUGCAAAGGGCAAAAAGAAAAAACUUAAGUAGUAGUGAAAUCAGCGCGAAGGUCAUCAGAGCUGCGCUCCAAAACCUUCAGCAACUGCCAUGGAAAUUACCUACUCCUCCAUUCUCUAUACUCACCCUAUCAAAAGAACCACAGCUUGCAAUUGCUCAUACUCCCAUGCCAUUCCUAAACACCUUCCAAGCAGAUUCUAUCCGUCUUCUCCACGUCUAUCUGUUUUCUCCAGAAGCUACAAUUUCAUUGUAGACUCGAGUUUACGAAUUAGAAGAUUAACAGCUUUCAGCAGUUCCAGCAGUUCUAACAAUGACUCACCCCAAGAACUCGCAGUUCUUCUCGAAGUCGAAGGGUGAUUUUCCCUCUAUUGUUAUUUUUAUUUCAUGCAUUCAAUCUUUUUACUCAUUCUUUGUGGUUUGAAUUGUUCGGUUUAUCUGAGUUUGCUUCUUCUCUUUAUGGAUAAGUACUAGACAAAUAUCUAGCCAGUUUUCAAUUUCAAAGACGUAAUGACGCUGUAACACCGCUUCUUGUUCUCCGUUCGAUUUAUGUUUUAAAUUCACGAAGCUGGUUUGUUUCUAGCUUUAUGGUUUCUUCUGUACUGUUACCAGUAUUAUUGUUUUCUUUUAUCUGCCCGCAUAAACGCCCUUCCGAUGGACACCAUUUAAGUAAAGUCUACUAGAUGAUUGGGUUGCGACGAUUAAUCCCACCAUUUUUACCUCACCAAUAUAUCUUUAGACUUCUAAUUCAGUGUGUUUACUGCUUGCAGUUUUACUUCUGUAGGCUCUUUUGUUUUAUCACGUUCCUGACCAUACUCGUCAUUUUAUCUUGUUGGCAUUUUGAAUUAAAGAAAAGUUUUGGCCAUUAUUGCACACCAUCUGAAGUUCGGUAGACAGGACUCUUAAAUUAUUGGACCUACGAUCUUUCGAACGGCCCAAGCAUGGAAACCGGAAGAUUGGUUGUCUUCCCUCAUUUAUAGAUCUGAAUGGAAAAAAAAAACGCUGAAUUAAAUCUUAGACGAGCACUUUCAUCAAUAGAGACAACGUUAGCCACCAUAAACUGUACAUAAAUGUUAAAGAAUCAGAAAGUGGGAAAGUUCUUUGAUUUUUUUUUUUUCAUUUUAAUAAUAAUAAAUUUUUAGGAGACGGAAGAUAUCCGAUUCAGACUUGAAAAAUGAUCGAACUUCCUUAGGAAUAACUGACAGUUUUAACUACACCUGGCCGCUUGACGUGGGGGAAAAUAACUAAAUAUACAAGGUAAACAACCAGUUCCAAUAAGAUUUAACUAAGAAGAACCAAGCAAGUACUGGAUCACUCAUCUUAAGCCGUGGCCUUGUUCCCGUCAAUCUACCAAUCACGUUAAAAAGGCCCUUGUCUGUAGUUAAAGUAGACCAAGAAGGUAUUUAUUUUUCUAACCAUGCAUUUGGAUGACUUAACCCUUUUCUCUUACAAAAUCUAGAUCCAAUAUGUACUAAGUUCUUUUUAAGUUUUGACGACAGUGUUGCCCAUAAAAGCUUCUGCAGAUAAACCAAGAGAAAGAAAGAAAGAAAAAUUAUUGACAUUAAAAGCUAAAAAAAAUAGCCGAAAAAAUAUUGACAAUAAAAGCUAAGAAAGGUAGCCAAGUGUAAACGGGAUGUUCCCAGGGUGGCAAUAGGCUCAAGGCAACAUUGAUUUGAGUUCGGGUUGUUGGACAAUAUUGUCUAGGUGAUUUGACAUAAUAAACAAUCAAUAUUUCUAUGCUUUUUUAAGUUUGCAAUGUUUCACAAGUCAAGCAAGGUUGGAGUUUCUUCCCUUAACUCUUUUCUCCCUUCCUUCCAGAGUCCUUGUGGAUGCAUAUCGCUCAACUAAUCGCCAAGCUUUUAAUGAAGGUGCUCAAAUUAUCAUACCUAUCUGAAUUCUGUAGUUAAUUUAAUUGGGAUUUAUAUGUGUUUUGAAUGAUCAUUAUCUAACUUUGCGCUGACAGCAUUUCGUAAGCUUGGACUUGACUGUGCAAAUUGGACUGAACCUGUAUAUUCAGACCUUGUCAGGUGUAACUCUUGUUGAUACUAUCUAAUCUAUCUAUAUUUUGAAAGGAUGUCAUUGUGGUUUCUUAAUUUUCUCGUUUUUAAAUUGAAUAUAUGAUAAAUUUGGCAUCUUAAAGAUUAUAUUUACUUUUAUCCCUCAAACUUAUCAAACUUCGAACCAUGGCAACUAUAUUUAUAACUCAGAUUUAAGUUGGACUUAUAACUUUAUGUUUCUAAUUUCUUUGAUGAAAUUUGUUUCUCAUAGAAAAGACUUGUAACUUUACUCUCUCUCUUUCCUCAUCUCAAGUCUUAUUUGAUGUUUCUAUCUGACCUGCCAUGAAAAGCUUUUCAUACAGUUGAGCCAGAGAAAUUUUGCCUCAUCUUCUAACGGAUGAUUAAGGAAAAUAGGGAAGAGGUUAUCAGCCAAUUUAUAGUAAAAAACAAAAGAUCAUUGAAGAGGAGAAAUCUACUUGUUUCAGUAACUUGUCACAGCAGCACAGCUUUAUUCUAAUUAAGGCUCUAUCACUAUUGUGAGUUAAGAUUAUUGAAAAUCGUAUUAAUUUCUAUCACAGGAAGAAUGCUGCUAACGAGGAACGGAUGCUAAUUAUGUAUUUUAAUCGUGUAAGUUUCUUUUCUUGUAUUGGAAUUAUGAACUAUUACUUUUGGUCAUUGUUUUUUUUCAUUGGUUAUGUAACACUUUCAUUAUAGAUUGGUUGGCCGACUUCACUACCAACAAAUGAGAAGGAAUCGUUUAUUAAAAGUGUUCUGCGAGAAAAGGUACUAUAAACCAUAUAUGAAUGAAAUACCUGACAAUUAUUGCUAAGUUGCUUGAUUGUAGGUUCCCUUAGGCAGGUAGUUCAAAGAGAAGUCUAUAACCAUUCUUUUUCUUAAAGAUAUUUGCUUAUAUAAAGACACUUCCAGUUCUGUAAAAUGUACGCAUAUAUCUUUAAGUUUCCUCUCCUCACGAGAAGAGGGUUUGACCACUAGUUUAUUCUGUGUAUUGAAAUGUACUUGGUAAAAAAGCUUCCGGUGAGGAUUUGCCAUCCUUCAAUUCCUGACAUCCAUGAAUUACUUGACAAAAGUUUUGAACUGGAUGAAUGAUAAAGCAAAAUGGAAAAUUAAAGCACUUCCUUGUAGAAAACAAACAUCUAGCCUUGAUAAUCCCAAUUGACUUGCCAAUGAGCUCGGCUCAACUGGCAUCUGUAUGUUUCCGAUAAGAGGUCCUGGGUCCAAAUCCCCUCAUCCCCAAGUUGUACUUAAUAAGACUUUUUCAAAAAAAAAAAAAAACUGACUGACUCCCCUUUAUACAAGACCCUGUAUCCCUUUCCUAAAACUAUCUUUUAUUUAUCCCUUUCUAAACUACCUCAUGGCAUUUUUCAUCGUGAAGAGAGGACCCGCCAGUGAAUAAGCAAUCUAAAACACAAAUCUAUGGUCUAGUUGAUAUUGGAUUUGAACAUAAAUGCUUAUAAUGUUACAGUGUAUUGAGUCUAUUGACAACGAAAAAUUUAUGGAUUAACCAGUAACAUCUCCAUCUAGGUCCUAUUUUUCAAUUUUCAUUAAUCUCUUCAGGUGCAUAAGUUGCUUUGCAUGCCCCUAUCCUCCCCUCUUCGUCUGUAACUAUUUUUUUAGAACAUAAAUCUUUUGUUAUUUACUGUUAACAAUACAAAUUGAGGCUAGCAACAAUUUCUCUGUCUUUCUCUCUCCCACCCCCCUCUCUCCCUCCAUUUCUCUCUCUUAAUUUUUAAUUUAAUUUGUUUUGUUUUAAAAUAUGAAGAAACAUUUUUUUAUCCAUCGUUGGCAGAAAAAGGCAUCAGAUGAAUUGAUGGUUUCACAAAGUUUACCUCUACGGCCUGGAGUUGAAGAGUAAGUCUCUGAACUGCAUCCUGUUUGAAUGGUACAUGGUCAGUUAAUCCAUCUUCUUUUAAUUUGAAGGCUUCUGUUUCAUAUUCAAGUGGAAAUAUAUGGUUUUUCUAUGAUGCUUGGAUAGAGUGUUGAAAAAUUGAUAAUCCUUGAUGGUUGAUGCCUGAUGGAAGCACCUUUGUGGUUGAAAUUAACCUUCAAUCCAUGAUGGUAGAAGGUGCUUCCAUCAAUCAUCAUGGAUUAUGAAUACACCUUUGUGGAGGGUACGCAAGUUCUUGAUUCUUCUCUUAUUUCUAAUGAAAUCAUCCGGGAGUGAUUCUCGUAAUGCUCAUUUAGUUCAAAUGACCAUGACCUGCAAGAGUGGGAUCUUUCCGAAGUAGUCCCAGUUAGCUUAUCAAUCUUCUUGGCAGCAGCAUCAAAAGACAGAUAGAUAAAAUAGGCAGGCAUAUUAGCAAGUUUAGCUUAAGCUAAAUCAAUAUCCUCAUUAAAUGAAGUUGGCUUAUGAAAUUCUACAAAAUGUAAGGAUUUUAUCCUUGAUAUGUUAUGAAAAUUGGGGAAACUAAAUAUUAUUAGCAACUCAUUUGUCAUUUAUCAAUCUAAUAAAUGUUAGGAACGUUGUAAGGGAAGAUACGAUUUUAGGCACGGUUUCAGAUAUUUCUCAAUAUAACAGUAUGAUCUACAGUUUAAAACUCACACUAACAUUUCAGAUAGUGCUCAAUAUCAGGUUAUGCAUCUGCAGUUUAACUCGCAUUUAACAUUUCAGAUAUUGUGCAAUAUCAUGUUAUGCAUGAUUGCUGGUCACUUUCUACACUUCACUUUGAAUAAGAUUACACAUACAAUAGUAGUUGAUAUCAGAAGCUAUUGUCAAUUAUCAAAUUGUAUCUACAAAUUACUCUCGAUUGUUCCUUUUAUUAAUAGGAGCUACAUUUCAUUUCUGCAGUUUCAUUGACAAUGCUCAUAACGAGGGAAUACCUGUGAUUAUUCUCACAGCCUACAGCAAGAGUGGAGAAGAAAUUGCUAGGUCUGUUUCUGUUACCAUUAAAGUAUUACCACAGAUGAAAAUUUGGAUCAAAAGUCUUUCACACAAUUUACAGAAUGUUUUGUCACAAUGUUCUCGUUUUCUUGUUUGCUCAUUUGUUUUUCUACAAUUUCAUAAUCUCAAUGUUAAUGCUACGAUUUCCAAUAUGUGUUGCUUAAUUGUUAGAUCUAUCAUCAAUAAGCUUGGACCUGAGAGAAUAUCCAAAGUAAAGAUUGUUGGGAAUGAGGAGAUGAGACAGAGUUUAUAUAGUGAAUUUGUGAGUGGUCAAGCAAAGCAGUCAGGUUUGGAAGAGGAACUAGCUAAAGAAGCAAUGAAGGCAGGUAGUCCCUUUUCAAUGUUGGUUGACAUGCUUUCUGUUAUUCCAAAUUUAAAUAUUGAAGGUUGGAUACUGAAGGGCUGUAUUCUUGCUUGACGGGCUAGCUUCUGCUGAGAAACAAAGGAUAGCCAAGAAGGUUGCAUCGGCGCUGAAGUUGAGUGUCGAGAUAAAUACUACCUCAUCUGAAAGGUCCGUUUGUUUUUUUUUUAAAAUAAAGUUGAUGAAUGUAUAUUAUGAUUUGCUUUUACUCCUGUUGUAAAAUUUCUCUGUUAUUAUUAUUGUUAUUGUUCUUAUUAUAGUUUUCAUGUUAAUGGCCAACAGACUACGAUGAAAUGUAGGAUCUGCAAUUAUUUGAUACUUCAAGUCUUCUAGACAUAAUGCAUCAUCUAAAUGAAUUAGUUGGCAUGCAAUUUUUAAAAGGAAUAUGAGAAGAAAGAAGUGGAUAAUUGCGGUCCAAUCCACACAUAACAUUACACAUAUUUUUGAGGACUUGAAACUUUGGAAAAAGUUCUUUUCUUGGCCUUAAUUUCUUGGAGAGCUUCAUCAUUGUGGUUUAGCUUGAUUGCCACUUUUCGAGAAGUCAUAUAGAGUUUAAGAAAACAGAUGGCCCUGGAUUUUUACAGCUUACUGGUCCUGGUAUCUGAUCUCAUGGGAUGGAGAGUAAGCUACCAAGUGAGGGAGAUAGCACAAACCUUUCAUCAUCUCUUCUUGAACUUAAUUUCACAGCUGCUUUCACCUUCUGUCGUACAAAAUGUCCUCUUAAUGAAAAUUAAUGAGUGUUAGAAGACAAUGCAACAAUGGAGAUGCAAUAGAAGCAACCAAUAUGGACCAAUGGUUCAAUUCACUUAUGGUUGUAGAAAAAAGAUAUGUCACCGUUCUUGGAAACUCUUCUAUUUCAUCUCUGCACAAAAAUACGUAUUGUGCAUGCUUUUCAAUCUUAUUAACUUACAUGUACAUGCACGUGUAUCUUGGUAGUGAACUUUGUAGUAUUUAUGGGACACUUUUAGUAUCUUCAUUAUGUGGUUUAUGAAUCGUAUGGUUCUCAAAUGGCGAGAAUCUUGGAAUAGUGGAACGGUCCAUUGUUUUUUAAAUGUUUUCUCAUGUUCGAGUUUGAUCUGAUUGUGAUUGUCUCUAAUUUUUUGCUUUUUUCUUUAUUUUCACUUCCUUGGAGAGUUGGCAUUCCUUGAAGAUUUAUUCCUUCUCAUUACGUCAACGAGAAGUUGUUUCUUACAGGGGAAAAAUUCAAUUAAAUUUUAUUAAUUUUAUUUUAAAUAAUUGAAUGGAUGAUUUAUUUGACUGCAAUGUUUAAUAUUACAUAUGUUGAUUACAAAAAAGUAUUAUCACGUGCAUUAUUUAAUGACUUUUUUUUUUUUAUAUAAAGUUUGGACAAGAUCAUAUGUGCAUUGCGUGCUGGAUCAGAACUUGCUGGCACACCCGUUUCCAAUUGCAUCCUUGUUGCAGGAACCCAGUCAGGGAUUGAUGGAGCUGAACGAAUAGGAAUGCCACGUAUUGUGAUCCGAAGCAGGUAAUCCCCAAUGUAGUUGGUUUGAGCUAGGAUAGACCCGAUAACUCUUGAAUACAACUGUUGGAAUGCCAUCUUCUCCUUCUCCUUCCUCUUCCUUGUCAAUAUAUCAUCUAGGGUCUAGAUUGAAUAUUGAAAUGACUCAUAGUCGACACAUUCCAUCACUCUUGUAUUUACUGUGUUUAAGCGACCCAAUCACUUUCAUUCUUCGUAUGAGAUGUGCUUUCAAUCUGUUACCUCUGACGAGACUCUUUACAUUACCAAAUUGGUUCCAUCAUUACAAUAUAUAGAAAAAAGGUAGCAUUUACAUUUCUCUAAGAGGCUAGACUCCUUGAUUAUAUAUCUCGUCAACUUUGUUUCUGAUUCAGGAGGAAAAGUUUUUCUCGAGUUGAGUGGGACUUGGAUAAAAAGAAAAACUAUUGUCCAUAUCGUUUAUAGCAAUCGACUUAAUCUGCAAUUCUAGAUGUAAUAUAACAACUUCAUGGUUGCUUCUUUGUAGUUUGACAUCAAGAGCCGAGUUCCCUUCAGCAAACGCUAUAAUGGAUGGCUUCGGAGUCGGUGGCUUAACCAUUACCAGAUUACGGCAAAAGACUUGGUCUUGAGGUUCAUUGUUACUUUCUGUGCUGCCUCUACAUUACAUUACCGUUAAAUCGGUGUUAAGAAUGAAGACGAUGUCAAGUACCGUUACACGACUAUUUUCAUGAUUCCAUUCAUACAUGUAUCGCUAUGGCUUAAAUUCUUUGAAUUUUGAAUCUUGAAGAAUGAGGUGAAAGAAUAUAAAAGAAAGGGUUUCAUUUACGAAGAUUUAAUAUGAAGAAAAAAAAUCUCUUGCAUCUUUAUUUGCGUAAUGGGCCUUAAGGUAAAAAUGGAGUGGUGGGUUCGGAUCUCUCUUUAAUAAAUAAAUUAACUACAAUACACUCGAAGAAAAGUAAUAUAAUAGACUAUGUUUAUUUUAAUAAAUUAAAGAAAGGUAAAAUUUAUAUAAAUGAAGAAAAGAAGGUUGAAAAAAAAAAGAUAUCUUCAAUUCAAGAAUUCACAUCUAAAACUCUUCAGAUGCUUGAAAUAAAAAACUCAACAUCUUAUUCCAACUUCAACAUUUGCUAAUUUAGGAUGAACACACGAUAUCCAAAAUCCAAAUUGAACAAUCCCAACCACCAACAAACCAAACUAAACUUUUAAAUGUUUUAACUAAAAACAUAUUUGGAAACUAGAGUGAAAGUUUGAUGGUUGAAAGUAUAUCUUAAAAUAUGACAUUGGAUACCAUAUCUAGCUUCUUACCAAGACUUAAAUACGUAUCAUUUUUCAGGAGUUGUGUUGCUGUUAUUUCAAUGUUUAAGGGUAAUAAUUCCCAAACUCAAAUACACAACACACAUAUAUAUUCACAAUUUUUUUGGGGGGGUUAAAUUGAAUAUCAAAAUAAGCCACAACAUGACAUGGAUCUCAUUAUUAAAGAAAUAAAACCAACAAUUCAAAAAAAAAAAUAUAAAUAAAUUGAUUUACCAUCCUAGUUUGUUUAAAUUAAAUACCAACGCCAAGAUGCCUGUCUCUUGAAAAUUGAAGCACCUUGCAUUAUGCUUACAAUUACAACAUUGUAAUAAAGACCAAAAAGUAAACUUUCUAGAACAAGAGAAAGAAAAAACUAGAAUUAUAGAUCAAAAAUCUUCCAAGCAAGUAGUUCUUAAUCUCACUACCUCAUUUCUCACCGACGACUUCAUGAACAAUGUCCUCCACAAUCUUCUCUUCCUCAAUUUGCUUUUCCAUCCUUCUAAAACAAUAAACGUGUCUGAAGCCUCCAUCUUCAUGCCUAACAUAAGUUAAAGGAGUGAAAGAUAUCUGCAAAUUUAGGAUAAUCGACAACAAUUUUGUAUAUGUACAAAGGGGAGCUAUAGUUUUCUCCAUUCAAUUGGUUGAAGCAGGCAGAUGCAUUAUUUAAGUUUAACUUGGAGGAUGAGAUGCACUGUUUUCUUGAAGAUAGACCUUAGCUCUUCAUUUGCUUCAACACCUAUUCUCCUGAAAUUCAGAACAUGGAUUUCCUUCUGGUGAUUAGGAACCAAAAUUACCAUGGUUGGAAUUUAUUGUGAAGAACUAGAGGAACGCUGGAAACUAAAGAUUAAUAUUUAGUUCGAGGAAAACAAAAAAGUGUAAUAAAAAUUCAAUUGAAUGCAAAAAGUGCGAGAAGUCUAGACAUACGCCCAAUUCACAAGGUAUCACUUUACCCGAUUUUUGAGCCGUUUUUCCCCACUAGAAUUUUGCGCUGACUUGGUUUGUUAGUGAUAAAGUGUUGCUCGAUCCUAAGAGAACCAUUUCGAAAUUCUUUCCAAUCAACCAGGCGAUGCUCAAUUCCAUAAGGAAUUUCCUGAAAUAUGAAGCAAAGUUAAUGAACCAAAAAGAAUAUCUUGGCCAACUCAGAAAAAAGGAAAUAGUGAUAAUCUCCACCUGAUGCACAUGGUCUAAUAAUCGUUCCCGGACAACUUCAAGUGAUAUGUUCUUCAUCAUUUCUUCAUUCAUAGUGUAUGGAUCUUCAUCCCAAGGUCUUUUGACGGCCUAAUAUGGGAUGGGUAAGCCAGUUAAAUGCAGGUCUAAGCUGAAUAAACAGAAUAAUUGGUGGUGACAAUGACAAUAAAAGAUAGAAAAAGUUGAUAAAGCCACCCUUAAACUAUAGGGAGUCGUUACAUUCAAAACCUCAAAACUUCAAUUUGAUCAAUCACCUUCAAAGGUUAAGCUGUUGCAUUUAAGCCUCUAAAUGUUGCUAAAUGCACAAACCACCAAUGAACAUGACGAUGAACUACAAGUGUUGCUAAAACAAAUCCCUCCAAGUAUAGAAUUGUUAUAAUAAAAAAUAAAUUCUUAACAUUAGUUUUCUUAAAACACAACAAUAGAAUUGAACAAAUAGGAAGCAUGCCUGUUACUAAAGUGCAUGACCAUUAAAAGAAUUAAUUUUCAAAUUUUAAAACUAUAAUUCAACUUAGUUCAAGCACAGGUGAGUUGAAGACCAUUUGGAAUAUUCAUUUAUCAGGUGGAGAAUCCUCGUUAGGUAUAUUUGCCUGAAUAAUAGCAGUGAACAAAUAGGAAACAUGCCUGUUCCGUUAAAUAUUUUGAAAGAUCUUUUACUCCAGCUCCCUUUAGCCCUGAGAUCAUGAAGUACCUAUACAAAGUUUGUUCUCUCAGUGAAAACGAAUGUUCAAGAGCCUCUAAGCGAGUCAACUAUCUGAAACAAGAACCAGCAAUACCUUUCGUAUCCAGGAAGAUCUUUAAAUUGUUCUGCAACUGUUAACAAGUCUUUUUUGUUUUCGACUAAAUCAACUUUGUUCAUACACAAUACACGCUUCUGUUUUGGGUGUGGGGAUGCUCCCAUUCGUUUGAUCAAUCCUACCACCCUCGAAUCAGGCCUAAACAAAGUCCAAGAGUCAACUGCUAAACCAUCAGGGUUGACCACAAUACUAGCAUAAUGGAGCUGGAAUCAACUCAAAGUAUAACAAAAGAGAAGUUUUGAAAAAAAGAAAAUUUCUGGUGUAAUUCUAAAAUUUCUAAACCAUUCAAGGAAAAACUAGGAAAAAUUGUAAAGCUUGUGGUUACUAAGUUUCAUAUUUGAGAACCCUAUAUUCUAUAAUGAGACAGAAGAAAUUACUACUAACCUUGCAAGAUGUCUAUGAACGUCAAAAAUAACUAUCAACACAUCAUAAAGUUCAACUGAACUCCAAGCACUUUGCACACGAGCUUUCAUAUCUUUAUGAGGGAAUCCCUUGCUCUUUAACAUUAGCCCUGGUGUAUCGAAGAAACACUGAAUUGGCAUAAUAAAUCAGAAAAAGCCCAAAUUAACUACCUCUGUAGUCUGUAGCAAUAACAAAAAGAAAGAACACAGUGACGAAUCUCUUCAAGAUGCAUAAUAUGAGAUUUUACAUAUCGUUCUCUCUUUCACAAUAAUAUUUAGUUUCUAAAGGAGCCAUUAUAUGGAAAACUAAAUCAAAUUAAAUUAAACGAACACCUUCAACAUUCCUAUGGUCAAACCAAUAAAUCUCCAACAAACAUUCAAUCCUACUAAAAUUACUUGAAUUCUUCUCACAGUAAUAUCACUGCCCUAAAUCUCUGAUAGACGACACAGCUAUAGCUUUUAUGUACCAAAUCAUGUUCAUACAGGCAAAUGCAUUCUAUUUGAAAAGGAGACACACUUCAGCUUUUAUGCUCCAUCCCAAAAACAACGGAAGAUUAACAACUUCUCCAAUGAAUUAAUGUGAAAAAACUAGGAUGACUACGAAAAACUGAGAAACAACUCCAACUAGAAGCACUAGGUAAAGAGUAGCAACACCACUUGUAAUUGAAUAGUUACAGAUAAAUAAAAAUAUGAUACAUACAAUUUGGGUAUUUCCUUUAGUCAUUGUUCCUAGGACUUCGUGAGUAGUGGUAUUUAUUUUCCGUGAAACUGCCGCAACUUUAGUUCCCACCUAAACAAAAAAAAAAAAACAUAACAAAAUUACUAUUUACAAUCUCUCAUGUCAUAAUCAAUAAAAGCUGAUUGCUUCCACAUAACCCCCUUCAUAAUAAGAAACGUUAAAACUAAAUAAAUGAAGAACUUAUGACUAAAAGAGGCGAAGGAGGCAAUUCUGCAUUUUAAGGAAACGAACAACAAUUCGAAGCAAGAAAGGACGAAUAACAACCCAAAAAUUCUCCACAAAUCCGACGAAUUUGCAACAAAGGAAGUCAUAUCAAACUAGAAUUUGUUAUAAAAGGAAAGCUAAGCAUGUAAAAGAAAACACCUUCCAUGCUCUAAGCAACCGUAAGUUUAAAAAAUCACACGAAAAUUAGCUAAGUUGUGCAGUCAAGAGGCUUGAAAGCUUAAAGAACAAACCAUAUAAUUAGUCAGUGCGGACUUGCCCGCGUUUGGUGCGCCAACUAUCCCAACUGCCAGAGACUUCUGGUCUUCCUCUUUCACAGUUCUCUCGCCAUCCUCUUGGUCAUCAUCAGCAGUUUCCAAAACCGCCUCAAGGAGAGACUUGGCAAGCGCUCUCCGUCGCCUUUCCUCCUCCUCCUCCAUAAGCUUGUAUUUCACUCCCUCGGAAUCUUUCCCAAAUAUCAGUUUGUCGGCUUUUGCCCUAUAUUUCUUAUCCCAACCAGAGUCAGGCUCGGUUUUAGUAGUUGAAUCCAUGGUUGGAAUGUCGAACUGCGAACUAUCAAAUACAGAAUCGGGGGCAUUUUCAGUGUCGGAGAGAGUAGGGUUGUGAUUGGAAUCAUCUUGCUCAGGUUGAGCAGAGUAAUAUCGAGGGGGAAAGAUUGGAUUCGUGAGGAAAGGCCGGUGGGAUUUAGGAGGAAUGGUGGUGGCUAUUCUCAGAGCCCUUAAAGCCUUCAUCUCAAAUUCUCAUUCAAAGCAUCAAUGAAAGAAGGAAGAUAUGAAGUGAAGAAGUGAAGAAGCGAAGUAGAGGUUUUGGGUCUCUGCUCACUGCCGUCGGGGUUUUUGGGGUUUACAAAGCUCACUCCUGUGCUUAAAGGCUAUUACUCAAUCAGCGAUCCUUUCAAUAUCAAUUUCACUUUUGACCCUAACCUUAUAAUCCUUCUGAGUUAUAAUCCAUUUUAGCCCUAAAUUUUGUAAUUUCAUCAAAUUCCACUUUUAACUUACAUAAACAAUUUUUUUUUUUAGAAAAAAGGAAAAGAUAAAUGUUGCUAACCUUUUUGUAUAGUGCAACCUAAUCCUUAUAAUACAAUUUUGCUCUUUAUUCAAAUUUUAUUUUGAAAAUUUUCUGUUUUUUUUUUCUUUUGUUGAAAUUUAUAGAUUUUGAUGAAUCUUCAAUCAAACCUAUUUUUAUGCCAUAUGUUUCUAUUAUUGUUACGAAUGAUAAUUAGGGAAACAUUAUUUAGGGUCAAGUAGUUUUUUUUCUUUUUACAUUAUCUUAUUGUCUGAAUAAUUAGAAUUUCUAGAAACAAAGAAAAGAAAAUCUAAAAUAUACUUUUGGCAAGUUUUAAGAACAUCAAUAUUUUUCAUUGAAAGAUAUUUCCCAGACCUUAGUUUAGAGAAGAAAGGAUGGUGAUGACAUGAGUACAGGUACUGUGAAACCUAAAACUCACUCUAAUCAAAUUUUACAAUGAAGUUUGUGAUCAAAUUAUAGAAAAGGAAUGCAAUACAAUUACAUGACUCUUGACUUUAAAAUUAGAGGCUAUGAUAUAAAACUUAGGCAACAAUCUUAUUUAGGAAGAUGGUGAGGGAGGUUGACAAGAAGAUUGAUUCAACAGACUAAAAGUUAUACUUUAAUCAAUUUUAAUUUCGUUUGAAGAUAGAACUUUAUAUAACAAACUGCAGAACAUGUUUCCAAGGGCAGAAAGGAAUAGAGAACCAACAAAAUAUAAAUCUUCCUCUAACAUUAGACACUAGUAGGGUUUUCUUGUGAAAACGGGUGAAUAAAAUUGAUACAAAGAGGGAAAAGAAGAUAGAAAAGAAGGCACCCUGCUCUCAUUUAAAUCGCCUAGAGAUAAUUGACAACAUAAACAUGAAAAAGAAAACUCUGUCCUCUCCUAUCCAAUUUAUGGCAAUGAAUUCAAUGUAGAUGUUUUCAGUUAAUCUGUGAAGAAAAUAUGUUCCCAACACAUUGCCUGCUGACUGACUUACAAAUGUCAUAGCUUCUUCUGGAACCUACAGCAGCCAACCAACCACCUAUUUGGAAGAGCUUCAUGAAACUGUCAUCGUGGCUUGAACUAAAAUGGCAUUCGGCCAGCAAGCCUGCUUUCCAAGAUUCGUUUGUCUAUGGCUGCAUCAAUUGAACUCAUCUGAAACAAGAAUACAACACAAAAAUGAUUAGACAGAAAUUAUAGAAAUGAUGCCAUCGCCAAAUCAUAUGGUUGAGUCCUAUGCAAGAGGUGCCAAACUUUGCAAAAGAGGCUGACCUGGUCAAAGUCGUAUUCACUGAUCGAUCAUAAAAUAAAUUGUAAUGAUGCUACGAAUGAGCAAAAAUCUGUAGGGUAUAAUCUUGUUCCACCCAAAUCCCCACACUUUGGCAUCAAGCAUAGGGAGAGUGAAUCACAUAUAAUAGAUUGCAAAACCAAAAGGAAGAAUUGAAUAUACUACUUUCUUAAUCAUAUUGUUGCAAUAGGUAGAAAUUUCUUACAGCAAGAUUUGGAAAGGUUUUAUACACACACUGUAAGUGGGAUAACAUAAAUACCUACUUGAGCCUUUUGAUGCCCACAAGAUUUGGUGGUAUGGCGUGCAAACUGGAAAAUGUCAGUUAAAAGAAAACAGCAUUUACAUUUGAUGAUGAAUUUCAAGGCAAAAAGUGAGUUCAGGCUCAAGGUUCUUAGAAAAAUACAUUAUAUAAAUUGUAAAUGAAUUAAAAGUCAGAUUCGUUCGCAUCCUACAUUUCCAAUUGUAUAUCACAAAGAAUCCAAAAUCAGAAACAUGUAUAGCCUACCGCACGUGGUAUUUAAGUUGUAGUAUAACUUACCUGGCUAGUUUCAUCAUGCACCUGAUACUUAGUUAAGGACAUUCUUCUCUCCUCCUGCACAUGUUUAUCAUAAGAAAGUGAAAAUAUGUUGGAAAUAUCAAAGAUAAAUCAUGGUAAAUAAGCGCACCAGAAAACUUACCAUAGACAUUGCCUCAUCAUCCCAAACCAAAUAUACUUCAUUUGUUGAUGGUUGAGUAGGAGCUUUAUUUGCAAUUACAGGAGGUGGUCCGAUAGAAGGACCACCUGUAUUUGGUCCCGAAGCAUAGGAGUGUGAAUUGCUUAAUAUUCCACCUACAGCAUCAAAUGGAGUUACAUAACCUGUUAAGUAAAUUUUAUAUAUACAUACACACAUAUAAUAAUAAUAAUAAUAAUAAUAAUUUUUUUUAAAAAAAAUUCUACUUCAAGACAAAGACAAGUUCUAACAAAUGGAUUUGGGAGUCACAAUUUUAAUAAUUCCUCAGAUUAUAAGUUUUUUGGAAAUUGCAAAGAUUUAUCUCUUAGAAUAGAGAAAGAAGAAAAGGCUAUUCCCAUAAAUGUUGGAUGGGCAUUGGUCACUUUCAUACACAAUUUGAAGGUUCAGUCCGAUAAUGGCUCUAUUAACUUUCUAAAUUUUGUGCAAGAGUUUGUAACAGAAACUACAGUAACAGAUGCAUAGAUUGUAGUCUCAAUUGAAAUUAGUAGUGGAAGUGGCAAACAUGCUCGAAUAUAUAAGAUUUAAGAUUAGUUGUUUAAGCAAAAGCCAAACUUCAAUUAUCAACAAACAUGAAUAUAAGGGACUGCAUAAAGUAAUUAAUUGAACCUGGAAUGUUUGCAACUUGAUUUCCAAUUGUAGAAAAGUUGGUACCGAGAUGUGUCACUGAGCCCUUUAUAUCUGCUGCCGAGGUCAAAGGAAUGCUUGCUGAAAGUGUAGAUGAAGAAAAAGGAGAGCUUUGGGUAGGUCCAUGGCUAUUACUAACAACAGGGAACAACGGUUGAGAUACAGAAGCUGUAGGUGUAGUUGAAGUCAAUCCAGGAGGCGUUAUCUGUAAAGGCUGGAGCAUAGGAGUUGAUGAUACUGGAAGUGGAGGCCUUGCAGUCUGCACAGGAAAUAGGGGCUGCUGAGCAUAGCCCAAUUGGACAGGAGGAGGAAUUGAAACAGCUGAAUUUGGGGGGAACCAAGGUUGGGGACGCGGUGGAACAGGCCAGGCAGUAGGCUGUGCUUGUCCAGUUGAAGGAUAACUAAAGUCACAUCGUAAUUGAUAAAAAUUAGUAGAGGUUUGCUCUACAUAUUACUGAAGAUAACACAAUAAGAUGCAAAAACUUCACGUGAAGCAGUAAUAGUGAAUGGAAGAGAAAAAUGCAGGUAGAUACUUACAUAGGUUGCAUUGAAGCUAAACCAGGCUGAGGAGGGUACAUUAUACCCAGCGAUCCGGGCACCACACCUCCAACCAUCUGAGUUGAUGGCAUCUCCACUUUGGCCACCUUUGACAAGGACUCUUCUUCUACAAGAGAGACAAUAAUUUCUUAGUUGUACCACUUUCUCCAACACCACUCGCAAUAAGAAACAACACAAAAAAAUGGCAUUCAUCAGUGAGCAGUAUAAAGGCUCAGGGAGAGUGGAAAAGAAAUCAACUCCUUCAAUAUAAGAGAGUAGAAAAGUUUGAAGAACAGCAAAAAUAAGCAUACCGCAUCCCCCUCAUAAUUUUCUUUUCUUAAAAAAAGAUCCAACAAUAUUAGAUUUUUUAGGAUCAAUCAAUAGCUAAGCUUGACAAGCAUAUUGGACAAUAAAGAAUAUUUAUAAUUAAGCAUGACAAGCAUCAAGUUUUGUGGCAAGUUGGCUUUGUGGUCGUUUGGAGUCAUCGGCUUAAAAGGAAUAACAAAAUUUUAUGGGAGCUUGUAGAGAGCUUGUAAGGAGGUCCGGUCAUUAGCUAGGUUUACUGCCUCAAUCUAAGCAUCAGUCUCCAAGAAUUUUCCCACUUUAAUUACCUAUUAGGUCUAAUGGGUCCACCUAUUCACCCUCCCUUAUCACACUAACUAGAACAAGCUCCUUCAUCAUAAAAUAGGGUUCUCAACUCAAGUUCUAUUGUCUCAUGCCUUGCAUUUCUGAACAACAACUAAUUCAAAUGGCAGACACAAACAUCCUCAGAUCUUAUUGGAUGACAUGCAAGAAAAAUUCCUCUUCUAAAAACAAAGCGUUAUAUUUCCUAACCUACAGGCUACAACAGCUAGUCUAGUCUCCAUGGACACUCUGACUUAACCAAUAGUCACGAUAGACAAUCAGAUCUGUGUUAUGGUUAGUUUCCAUGGGUAGAUUUGAAUGUAUCAUUAUCCUAAGAACCCAAUACAAAUACAUUUCUACUCCUUGGCCCUUGAACAGUACAUGUCAUGUAGAAACUUUGAAGAUUGUCACCUAUUCAAAAAUUAACAUAGCCAUGGCUCAAUUUGCUACCAACUGAACAUAGAUGCAGGUCCCUUCCAACUAACUUCCUGACAUAAGGUCAUAUGAUCAAUCUGUUUCAACUUUUACACAUAACUUCCGGAAAGAACCUUUUGUUGGUGGCCUGGGCAGGUUGAUAAUUUCCAGUUUCUUUGGUGGGCACUACUCCUUUGUACAUUCCAUCUUAUCAAUCAUUUCCAAGUCCAAAAAAAUCAAAUAUAAAUUAUUUUCAGUAAUUAAUAAUAAAACGCACGCAGACUGAUCCAAUCAGAAAAAGAAACUCCAAGAUACUAUGAUCUGGGUGGAGGUGGGACAAAUUAACGUUUUUACUGAACUUCCAAGUUAAAGGUUGUCCCCCAUUAGACAAGAAAUGAGAAUAAGAGGCAGUUUGGAAAAUAGAAAGAAUAUAAGUUCUUUGUAAUUAUAGGAGAGUUAUCCUCGCCUAAACACAAGCAUAACAUACCCAUAAACUCGUAGUCUUCUUAUAUGUCUAUUUGCACAUAUGUAUAUGCAUGCAUGAAAGAGUUUGAGAGGAAGAAGAAUAACAGAUAAUAAGUAGAGAUAAAAAUAAAGACAGAGCAUGGAUAAGUUAUACAGAUUCCUUACCCUCCUCUCCAUAGUGUGCUGCCAACACAUCAGGAGGAAUUCCUUGCAUUCCAUAGAUUUCAAUAUCUGUUGCUUCUCUGCCUGGUUUUGCAUUAGGAACUCUAUCACGAAAAUACCACCAACAAUAGAAACGUUAGAAUAUAAACGUGACCAGUACAAAAAGCACCAUUUAAGAAUCAAAAGUUAACUAAUUAAUAGGAAAGUGUUUGAACAUAGAAAAAUUAAGAGCUCCAUUGAGAGAACGGGCAAUUCUACCUAGCAUAUCUUUCAAUAUCUCAAUAUCUUUUCAUAAUCUUAGAACCCAGCAUGUGGAAAUCUAUGAAAUGAAGAAAAGUGGACUCUACGAAAUUAAUUCCUACGACAGUGAGCAGUUUAUAAUCCAGUCCAUCGAUGGAACAAUUUACUGUUGGUGAACAAAAAUUUCAUCAUUCAAACACAUUAAGAAAGAUAAAUUAAAUUAUAAACCACAACCGGUCGUAAAAUAAGUGGGUUGAGCAAAACAGUAUACCCUCGAUUCCUCGAAUCUUUGCACUCAAUAAAGCAAAAAAAAAAAAAAAAAAAAAAAAGAAGUUGAUUGUAGACUUGUAGUUGAGGAGAGAAAGGAAGAGCGAGGGAAAGAGUUGACAUACUUGGUGACUGACUCUUUGUGGACCUGAAGAACGUGGAUGACCAUACCGCCGGCAGUAGAAAGCUUCUUGUGACAGACAUGGCAUUUGAAGUGUUUAGCCUUCUGAUGCUGAACCAAUAUCUUCUCGUCAUCGAAUUCUCUAUCGCAAUAGUAGCACCAUACCUUAGACGAAACUCUCUUCUUCUUCUUCCCCAUAACGAGAACACAAACCGUAGCGCUCUCAAUUCAAAUCCCGAAACCAAUAGAGUGGUUACCAAGGCACAGGAUUAUGGGGGGAAAAAAACAAGAACCGGAGAGAAUGAAACGAGCAGAGAUCACGAAGAUUUAGGGUUUUGUUCGUGGCGUUCUCCUAUCUGGAAAGGGAAGGGGGGUUUCGUUUGUCUCACGCCGAUCUCUGAUUUUACCCGCUUCCUCCAAUUUUCGAUUUUUCACUUUCUAAUUUUCUUCCCCUUCUAAAUGCAUAGUUGUUUAUAUUUAUAUUGUUUAUACUAUACCCUAUACGUAUUAGUUAGGUUUUACAAUUUCCCUUUUUUUUCUCUAUUUAAUUCUAUAUUUUCUUUUUCUUCCUCUGUAAUAAAUUAUUGGUAUAUCCAUAACCUUUAAAAUUAUAAAUGAAAAUAUAUUUUUCUGUUUAGAAAAAUGAUAUUUCAAUUUUAAACUUUUAAGUUCAAUAUCUAUAAAUUAAUUAAAUAAAACAUGUAUAUAGUUUCACCCAUUAUUUCUUUUAUUACUUUAUAUUUUAUUUUUUUAAAAAAAAUUAAGAAUGCAGAAGGAUACAAUCUCAUACUAACAUUCCACUUUUUCAUAAAAUAGAAAAAAAUUGUUUAGAUAUGGAUUUAGUAUGACGUGAUUUAAGAGAAGUAUGAACGCAUACAAUAAGAGACUUUCCUAAUGUUUUAUGGAUGCUACAUGCAUACUACUUCGAGUAAUACAUCCUACAUGUACAUUUCAUCUUCGUGCUUCUCUUAUUUCCUUAUAAUUACAAGUGGAGAAAAAAAAUCAUAUACCAAGUCAGUAACUUGUAAUUAUGUAACAAAAAUGAGUGCAAUUUGAAAUUUUUAUUUGCUUACUCAAUAAUUAAUUAUUAUGUACACCUCAUUAUAUGGGAUAAAACUUAAAACCUACCAAGUCCCCAUUAUAAUUGGGUAUGCUACUAACAACAAUUACAAGUUUAUUGUGAACUUAGUGAUGAGUUGUGUUUAAUAUCUAGUUCACUCUUGAUGCAAAUGUAAUAAUGUUAUACCAAUUUUUUUAUAAAAAAAUUACAAAUGCAGUUACUUGUCUAAUUAGUUAACAAACCAAAUAAAUAUACUUUCAAGAUUGAAGUGCAGUUUGAGCCAAAAAAAGAAAAAGAAUCAUAUGUUGUAUCUGCGGUUUGGGGGAGAACAUACUUCAAUGAAAACGAGGAAAAUCAAUGUGAAGAAAAAAGUUAAUUAAAACAGAUGAAUCAAUAAAUAGCAGGAACCUCGCAAGUGCCUUUUUGACAUAGUUUGUGAUGACAAAAACGAUGGUUAAACUAGACAUCUUAAAAAGAUGAAUUGGAAAACAUUUCACGAUGGUUGAUGAUGAACAAUGAUAAGCAACUUUGCUAAGAUGUUAGUUUAUCUCAUCAAUUCAAACUGCACGAAAGCCAUAAAAUUUACUCAUGAAAGAUUCAAAGCUCUUGUUCUUGCUGAAAGUAUGAGUGGUGAAAUGGUCUUUUCCUCGUAAUAUGAAAGGAUUGAAACCAUCCGGAUUCCACAAAUACAAACAAUCUAAGUUUUCUUUUUAAUUUUCCCAAAAUGCUAUACAUCCCUUCACGUAAUGACGGCAGAAGCGAAGAUUUCACAACACAUAGUAAAGAACAUCGCUAGUGGUAAAAUAGGAUCAAAUCUAAUUCGCAUUUAUUUUAGUGAAACAAAGCCUCCUUUCUUCCCAAGUCCCAAUCGACAAGCAGGCACUCUGACCGCAUAUCAAACUGAUUAUCAUAAAAAAUCCUGGGAGAUUAGCCUUGAGAUUGUUCCUAAUCAGAGCCUCCCUCUCUCAUUGCCUAUUCUUCCUUCUUAUUUUGAGCUUGCGAGGGGCCAUCUGCUUUCCCAGUAGACUGGUUUAUGCUAGCCUUCGCCUCGGCAAGGAAUGUAGGAUCCGGUUCAUGUUUACUAGAAGGUUCUUUCAUUGCCAUUAUAAUAUAGAUAGCAAUGACAACGUUGACUGAUAUGACAGCAAGGAAUCCACUCAAUAGUGUAAGAGAAUGAGGGUUUAAUUGUGUUGAACCUGCCCAAGAAGAGUAUUUACUGAGAAGUGUAAUCAAACACAAGCAAAUAAAAGGGAAGAAGAAAGUAGAGGAAAAGAAAAGACGGUUAUUGUCAACAAAAAGUAGAAGAUCAAAACUAUAAGAAUGAAUAAAAGGCCAAUAAAAGAUGACAUUAAUAUGAUAAUAUCCACACAAUAACAACUAAUAUGAAGUGAUAUUUUUGCUAAAAAGAAAGAUUACCAUCUUAAAGGAACCAAUCAAAGGUAAUGUGAGUGAUUUGGUAAUGACCAGCGGUUAUGAGUAAAGAGGGUAGUGAGGAAUCAAACAACUAUUCUUGAGAAGUUUACAUUGAGCUAGUUUAGGAAGAAACAUGUGGGCCUCAAGGUUUCCAAUAAUACUGCUACUCGGUAGAAUAAGUAGUUUAGAUCGGUAACUAUAAAUCUUAUUUGUUGGUCGGGAAGGACUCUAUGACAGCUCCCUUUUCCCGCCUGACCACCUCUCACGUAUUAAACACCUUUCAUUCUAAAUAAAGAUCCUUGAUUUGAUUCUUUGAGGUAACUCUCCCUAGUCACCCACUCUUAGACCAUCACAUACUAAACCAUGCUUUUUAAGUAACACCAUCUAGACAAGACAAAAAUGCACUUAUUGUAUUGUACUUACCGGUAAUUAUCAGGAUAUAAAAAAAAAACCUAGAAGAGGCUGGGUUCUUAAGAUAAAAAGGAGGUAAAUUAGUGUCAGGCCUCCAAUUACAAAUGCAUAGAGGCGUGGUUUUGGAAAAAAAAAUGCAAAUAGGAAGUCCAAUUCCGAAAUUUAGUGUAAUAUGGAGCAGGAUUUUUAAGGAUGCUAGGGAAUGUGUGUUAUGAAGGGUGCUUUUGGACAGAUGAUAGCUAAGUUGGCCUUUCCACCAAAUCACUAACCAGUCAGUCAAGUGGGUGAGGGGGGCAGUUGAUCAUUCUAAUGAAGGGCCAAUCACACUAAUUAAAAGAAAGACCAUCCGGCACCAACAUAAAACUAAUCUUGGAUGCAUAACACAAAUCUCCACAAACAACCGUGCAGAAUAAAAAGAUGACCACCAAACGAGUGCAAAGCAACCACAUAGGUGAUAGUAGCUAGAUUUUAUGUCAUAUCAAUAAAUCUUACCAGGAAUCCAAUUAUGGUUAAAACCAUGUAACAAUGUGAUGGGAGUUAUCCACAUAAACAGGGAUGCAAUAAAGAACUUCAUAAUGACGUUUGCCAUUGGUACCUCCAAUUUGUCAACAAUGCCUGGAAAGAGAGAGUUGUUAGAUGUACGAUCAAUAAAAUACUAAACAAGAAGAAGAGUUUAAGUGCCUUCAAACAAAUUUUUUUCAAAAUAGAAAAUAGAACAAAUUUAGUAACAAAUAAAACCCUUAUGAGAAGUUCCAGGAUUAUCCUUGGAGGACACAAUGGAUUCCAGAAGAUUUGAGAUUAGCCAUACAGCAAACAAAGAAAUCCUUAUGAGAUCGAUUUCAAUUUCUCUAAAUGGAAAAGGAAGGUGUAGAAAGAUUUCUGCAAGUAAAUGAAAGAAGAAGACAAAGAACUAAACCUAAAAAGUAGAAAAGAGAUGGCUUUACUAAAGUAAGCUCUUUGUUCGGCCCUCUUCUUUAUUCUUGCACAUGUGGAGAUUCUAAGGGCAAGUGGCAAAAUAGAGUAUUGUAGGUAAAAUACUUUGAAGUGCGGCGUAAAGAAACAUUAAAUAGCAUACACUAUUUCAGAGAGUAAUUUGCGUUUUGAUUCACAAUUUAACAACAUAAUACGAAAAUCCACCCAAAUUAGAUUUCAUCAACUUCAUUAGUAUCAUGUAUACCACAAGAACAAGCAGUUGAAUGAAAACGGAAAGACAGUAAAGCAUUCAAUUCAAAUCAUCUACGGUUGAAAUAAUAAAACAAAACAAAAAAGAAGAAGAAGAAGAAGAAGUAAAAAACCACCAAAUAAAUAUGCAGUCUCGAUUACAAGUUCCAUAUAUACAUAUUACAUAAUUCGUAUUGUUAAAUGUUACCAUGUAUACGAGACCACCACGUAUAUAUGUUUUUGUAUCUAGAUAUGCAGAGAACCGUCCAAUUAUUCAUUCAAUAAGAUAUCAUUAUCAACAUGGUAUCAAUUUAUCAAGUUUCAGCGGCCGCCUACCUCAGUUCACCCUGCCACCAUUAACAGCCUCUGACCCGACUGUGCUGCACUGUCCAGACCGUGCCGACGAUCUGCACUGUUCACACCGCUUACCUUCGUGGAGUUCCAGCUGCCCAGAUAUGCUUGAGCCCGGGAACCCUCGUUUGUCCUGCUGCAGACACCGUCAAACGACGACCCUAAUUUGCACCGCCCUGAACCGAUCUGCCGCUCACCUUCCCGCUUUCCCUAACCGCUGGUCAUUACCAAUACACACCAGGAUUAAAGUAAAUUUAAGCUGCACAAUUGAAAAAACCAAAGGCAAGGUUUCUUUUACAGUACUGGGAGCCUUUCCUAAACCAUUUUAGUGAAGGACAAGCCCAUCAUUUUAAUGUACAACAAUUGCACUUCUAAUAACUGGACACUGAGUGAUAAUUACUAAAGAUUAAAUAAGUACAAAAAUACAUAAUACAAAAAAAUGUACCACAAAAGCUCAAGGCCUAAACCAUAACCAUGUUUCAUAUAACUUUCAACAUCUCGGUUAGGACUACAUAUUUACACAUUUACGUACAUAUAUGUGUGUGUUUGACCAAACCAGUUGAAACAUUUCUUAAACAUCGAUACACAACAAAAAAAAAAGAGAGAGAGAGAGAGAGAGAGAGAAAGAAAGAAGAAGAAGGGAAAAACCUUUAAACCGAUAACCAAAACGGAGGGCGAGUGGGGUGGUCUGAUCGGAGUUAAAUUCGCCGGCGUCGUCUGAUCGGAGGGGAGAGGCCGAAGGUUGAAGAAUGGAGAGGAGUAGUUUAGGGUUUGUUUUUUAGGAAAGGGGCUGAGCUGAAGCUAAACAAUAAAAGUAAUGCUAUUUUAUGAAAUAUGGUACUUGUAAAAUUAUUUGUAAAAAUAUACCCAAAAUUUUUGUCAUUAUUCUGAAUUUCUUCGUAAAUGAUAUUUUUUUUUUUUACAAUAUGAUAUUGAUACCUACCUCACUCUCCAUAAAAUAAUGGAAAAUUGCAAUUGAUGAUCAUUUUAUGAAUAAUAGUUAAAAAUAUAGUAAUAUUUUAAAAAAAUUGUAAAUAUAACAAAACUAUCACUGAUAGAUUUAUAUCGUUGAUGGACUUCGUAUGGUCUAUCAGUGAUAUACCAAUAUUUACAACAUGGUCUAUCGAUGAUAGACUUAUAACAUUGAUAAAAUUUGAUAAAUUUUGCUAUAUUUGUAAAAAAAUUAAAUUAUUACUAUAUACUUAAUUAUUUUGAAUUUAAUUGCUAAAUUUGUAACUAUCUCAUAAAAUGAUUUGUUCUCUCGUGUAUUCUUUAAUUAUUUGAUUUUAGGGCUGUAUAGUGCAGUAUAGCAAAGGAGGAAGGAAAUUGAAUCGUGCUAAGUUUAUUAUGAUUAAUAAUAAACUUAUUAAUAAGUCUCCUUUUUCCAUAUAUACCUUAGCAUUAGCAAUUAGUGGAAGACCAUGUAUGAUCGAUGUUAGGGAAUCAACAUGUUUUGAUCGUGUCCUAAUCUUCUAUGUUAUGCUACGAUUGCAUUACAUCCUCACAAGUCAUAAUAAAGAAAGAUCUAUGAUGAGUAUGAAGGCCUUAGGCAUUGUGUUAAACAUAUGGAAAUCAUGUAGAUUAAUUAAUUAUUUCAAGUUAUUUGUUUUUAAUGUAAUAUUGCUGUUUAUUAUAAAUUAAAACUUAUCAUUGAAACCAUCAAAGUCUCCCUUUUAUGAAAAUAUGAUAUAUUUUUUUAUAAAAAUGUUAUAAUUAAUUUAUAAUUAUAGCUAAAUUAAACUCUAUUUCAUACGAACCUACAAAAUAAACAUCAAUAUUGGAAAUGAAUUACAAAAUCAAAAUUUUACGUUAAACAUUCAUUAAAUUUGGUGUAUUAAAUAUUUAAUUUAAUUACUAACCACGAUCCAAACGAACUAAUUGUUAACAAUAAAAUAUGAAGCAUAAGUAUAUUAGUUGAAAUUUAUUGUCAUUACUUUUAUAACAAGUUAAAAUUUAUUAAGUUUGGAUGAUAUAUAUUUAUAUUUCUUUUUUUUUAAUUGAUCAAAUAACAUAUUAUAUAUUUAUGGAAAAGAAUAAUAUUGUGUUAUAUAUACAUUUUAUGUCAUAGUACCAACUUUUUAUCAUUUGAAUUUGUAAACAAUUAACUCGUUUUCAGAAAAAGCAUAUUUAAUAUAAGAAUAACUUCCCAUUCAAGGUUGCUUCUUUAAUAAUGUUUGUGGUUAAAUAUUGCAAUCAUAAUAUUAAUUCAUUAUAUUACAUGUUUACUUCUGAUUGUAUCUCCUCAUUAUUAUUGGCUGAAAUUUAAUUUUAAAUAUAUCACUUAAAAAUAGCUUCAAUAUAAAUUUUGUAGGUUGUUUUAUUUUCUGCUGAAAAUAUAUUAUCAAUAUUUAUUAAUUGUAUGUGUUCUUUUUUAAAGUGGACGUGGAAAAUUAUAUUGAAACUAUUGUUUAGUUUAACAAAAAAAAAAUGUCACAUAGUUAGAUUGAGAGGCUUGAAAUGACUUAGGUUCUAAUAGUCCUUGUUGUCCCGUUGUCAUUGUAUUGCACCCUAUGUUUGUAGGUUUAGACCACAUUUAAUAUGUUAAUAAUUAAUCAUCUUCUCCAAUUAUUACCAUAUUUAGGUUUUGUACCAAAACAUUUAUAAGUAUGUACAAUCAUAGACUUUACAAAUAAUACCGGUGAUGACGAGGAUAAGAAAAUUAAGUAAGUGAUCAUUCGGUCGUAUCCGAAAAUAAAUUAUACAAAAAAUGGACGUAAAAGAGACAACAACCAACGUUGUGCCGGUUAGAAAAAAAAAUGAAAAAUAAAUUAUUUAAAGUUCAAUUGUAUUUAGUUGAUAGGAUAAGUUUAUAUAUAUUGUCUAUUUGUUUAAUGUCAAACGAUCAAAUUAUCUCUUCGAUUAAAACAAUGUUUUUUCAAAUAUAAAAAAAAUCUAUUUCCACAAUAUGAAAAAAAUCACUAAGAAACAAAAUUAAUUACGCUUGAUUUAUAUAAAAUAUAAAUAUUUUAUAUAUUUUGGACAAAUUUCUUUUUAAAAAAUAACGUAUUAAUAGUUGAGUUAUGUCCAUAUCACUCAACAUUAGACAUGAAAUCAAACAUAACAAAUAUAUUAUAAAAAACAUAUAUACCUACAUAAUUGAAAAAAUUGUAGACUAAAUAUAUAAAGUGAUCGAUAGGCAAUAACCAAAUUGAAAAGCGGUUGAGAGAAUGCAUGCAUCCCUAUAAGAAAAAGUUAGUAUAUCAAAGACUAUAUAUACCGAUCAACGAAGCCCGUAAAUAUAUACCAAAAUCAUAAUAAAUAGUUGAGUUGUACUCUAUUCGACACAUUAUAACUUCAAAUGCUAAAAACAACCAUAACAACGUUGGUGUUACACGUAGCCAAGAUAAAGAAAAAAGGUAAGUAAUUUAAGAAAAGAAAAGAGUUAUAACCUCUAUGACUCGUAUGUUUAGAUGAACUAUACAUUUUCUACCAUGCAUUUGAGCGUGAUAGGCUCGACACCACACCAAUAUUAAACAUUCUUACACAUGCAAACCAGGAAAGCAAAAUGAGAUAGAGAGAAGAAUGGCAAAUCCAGGAGAGGAUUCCAACCACAACCAACACAAACGAGAUCCAAACGCCAACAAAUUUGAUUAAACUAUAAAUAAUCUAUUACAAACAUAUAAUUUAAAACUAAUCUCUCAUUCACAUUAUUCAUUUUACAUUUAAAUAAUUGAAAAAAUCUGAAUUUAAACAAUUGUUUAUUUUUUGUUGUUUUAAUAUUAAAGCAAACAAUAUUUAGGAAAGUUGACAGAUUGUGACAUCAUAAACUUUAAAAAAUAAAAAGAAUAGAAAAUAAAAAAGGGUAUUAUUGACAUAGGGGUUUGGGGUUGCUUCAACAAUAACCUUUACCUAGUUGGUAAAAAUACCUUACCCCUAAACCCUUUUGUCAAUUUCGUUAGGCUACCAAACCAAACCCACACCAAAUUUUAAAAUGAAAAAACCUUUGCAUCAAACCUUUCUUUUCUUUUUUUCUCUUUUCCCAUUUCUAAACGAACUAUCACAUGUCCCACUUUUUUUUUAAUUUCCUCUUCCUCUUUCUUUUUUUCCUAAUUUCUUACAUUCAAUUACACUUUAUUCCAUGGUUUUUAAAAUCAUAUAGUUGAAAUUUCAGGAUUACUCUUUUAUUCUAAAAUUUUAAUUUUGUUUCUAUUAAUUAACCAUUAAGAUUUUUUUUAUCUAUUAAACAUUUACCCAACACGCUAAUUAUGUAUUGUAAUUUAAAGAACACAUGUACACGUCAAGAGUUUGGGUGUAAUAAUCACUAAACACAACAGUUACCUAAACUAGCAUUAAUACAUAGUUCAAUAAAUAAUAAAUACAAAAUUCCUAGAAAAUAAUAAUAAUGUUAUGUUGCUAAGUUCAUAUUCUUUAUCACAUUUCCCUAAACAAUAUAAAAAGAAAUAAUUAAUUAUCUUUCUAGACCCCUUUUGGUUUCUUUUUGCAGUUAAACCCCUUCUCUUUUCUCCAUGCAUCCCAAUUUCCCACCUUUAUUUCUCUCUCUCCCUGUGAUCUCUAUAAAACCCCCUUCUCUCCUUAAACACAAUAUUCCUCCACACACCAAUAAACAACAAUGGCAUCAAAACCACUCCUCUUUUUCAUAUUACUAUCCCUUCCAAUCCUCCCAUUUCUUUCUUCUGCAACACCAAGUUUGGAUUCCCAUUCUUCUCCGGCGCCACCCACCCAUUUUUCAGGCGGAAGCUCCUCCCAUUACCACCGCCAUUUCUCUAAUUUACGCAAACUCAAAUCCUCCCUCUCUGUUCGCCACGAGUCCGCCCCCUCUGCCCCAAAUCCCAGUUUUAUAACGACAGUAAGUUAUUAUUGUUUUCUUGUGUUUAAUUAUAUUUUCAAAAUGUUGCACGUUUACCGAAUCAUUGGGUAAAAUGUGUUGACGUAAUUGAGGAUGUGCUGACUGCUUGGUGUAGCCACCAUCUGGCGCUCGUGUGUAUCACGUGACAUCGUAUGGAGCCGAUCCCACCGGAAAAACCGAUAGCACAGAUUCGCUUCUGAAGGCAUUUUCGGACGUUUACAAUUCUAACGGUGAAGGCUCGUUGAUGGAGGGCAUCAAGAAUCUAGGAGGCGUUCAGAUUAAUCUGGACGGUGGUAAUUUCAUGAUUAGUCGUCCUUUGCGCUUACCUGGUGUCGGUGUAGGCAAUGUCGUGGUACGCCUUCCCCCACUUGAUUACAUGAUUUUCACUUUUGUGCUAAUUUAUUUAUUAUUCUUAGAAAGAAAAGGGAAAAAGAAAGGUUGAAUUUAAUUGGAAAUUGAAAAGUGUUUAAUUAGGUGAAGUGAGCAGUGCAACUAAUUUUGGUAACGCCCGUUAGAAAUGGUAAGGAAGGUUGUUGGUGAAAAUUAUUAAGAGGGUCUUAAAAGUCAAUUCACUUACCCCUUCUCUCCCUGCAUGCUCCAAACUCCAAUUUUGGAGGGUCAUAAAAGUAUUUCUAUCCAAAUUAUUUUCUUUAUUUUCAUUCUUCUUCUUCUUAUUAUUAUUUUAAAUCAAUUUUAAUCUAAUCUUUUAUUUUUCACUCCCACUACAAUUUAAUGAUUUCAAUUUCAUAAUUUCUUUGGAGUCAAGUUUGUGUUUUCGAAUAUCAUUUUGUCCUUGCCAAAUCUAUACUAUAUUAUAAUGAAACAUAAGAAUUUAUGUAUUUUUUUAAAUUUAAAUUUAUAGAAGUUUUGGAUGGCGCGAUUUAAAUUAAGAAAUUAAAAAAAUAAAAUAUGGCACAUUCACAUCAAAUAAAAGAGGUGUCCAUUAUAUAUAAAUUUUAAUUAUAGAUGAAGACUCAGAUUUCAAACACUUAAUUGAAAAUGAAAUAAUAUUAAGGGUAUGGGUAGCUGUUUGAAAAUGGAAAGAAAAGCAUUACUUUUUUCAAACAAUGUGCUUUGUUUUUCUUGGUCUCAAUUAAUUAAUUUCCUACGGAAACGCAUUUCUGUUUCUUCAAAUCCAAAUCUUGCUUUCUUGAUUUCUCACAAAGUCAUCCAAAACAAUUAAUUAAGUUUUCUUUCUUUCUUUUUUGUUCUCCUUUUUUAAGUUUUCUUCCAAUUGGUGUAUUUAACUUGAUACCUUUUACGUCGUUUAUACCAAUUAUCUACCCCUCACAAUAUAAUAAGAGAAAAAUACAUUUUAUUUUGUAGUCAGAAUACUAAUGUUUAGCAUGAGUUUUGAAUACACAUCUUUAGUAGAAUAAAAAAGAUUAUUUACAUUUUCUAAAAUAUUUAUAAAUUUGUUUUUGUAAUUGAAAUGUCAUAUAAUUGUAUAAAAAAGCAAACAACGAUUUGUGUGUGUGGAUUAUAUAAAAGAUUAAUCACGUUUGUGUAUUUUAUAAUUGUAUUAUACACCCACAUGUGUAGUACUAAUGGAAUGAGUGGGAAGAAACGAUUUUUCAAAUCUUGGGAUUAUGAAAAAUAUCAAACAAAACGCCUUCACUCUCAUAUCUAUUUCAAAUCCAACCAACUCGUUUUUACAAUAUCAAAAUUAAUUUUCAGCAUGAUUAUUGAAAACACAAAAACAAAAAUCCAAAUUGGUGUUUGAGAUAUGGUUUUUGAAAUUUCAGAUACACGGAGGCAGUCUACGAGCUUCAGAUGAUUUUCCUUCGGAUGGAUACCUAAUCGAAUUAUCAUCGUCUUCCUCAGCCCCCAAGAACAGUUUUGAUAACCAAAAAACCAUCAACUCUUCAUCUCAAGAUGCGAUCCUUAUUUCUUCUCCUUCAUCCUAUAAUUACGAAUAUAUCUCUUUCAAAGACCUUCUCUUGGAUUCCAAUUUCAGAGGUGGCGGCAUUUCCGUCCUCAAUUCCUUAAGAAUAACCAUCGACAAUUGCUACAUUACUCAUUUCACCACCAUCGGUAUUUCUGUUCAAGGCGGUCACGAGACCUACAUCCGCUCCUCUUUCCUCGGCCAACACAUUACUGCCGGCGGUGAUCCAGGUGAACGAAACUUCUCCGGAACUGGAAUCAGUCUCCUUGGCAAUGACAACGCCGUCACUGACGUUGUCAUUUUCUCCGCUGCCACUGGAGUCCUCGUCCAAGGUCAAGCCAACGUUCUCACGGGCGUUCAUUGCUACAACAAGGCUACUGGAUUCGGGGGUACAGGAAUUUACUUGCAAUUACCAGGAUUAACGCAGACUAGAAUCUUGAAUUCGUACAUGGAUUACACCGGAAUCGUAGCGGAAGAUCCAGUUCAACUCCAGAUUGCCAACACAUUCUUCCUUGGCGACUCUUAUAUCACGCUGAAAUCAAUGAACGGCGUGGCGAGUGGAGUGAACAUCGUGGACAAUAUGUUCAGUGGAUCGGACAAAGGAGUGGCCAUCGUUCAACUGGACGAAUCCAAAUCGGCAUUCAAGCAAGUAGAUCAAGUGGUGGUAGAGAGAAACAACGUGAGAGGAAUGCAAGCGAAAUCAACGGUUGGAAGCGCAGAAUUGGAAGGAAACGGAACUUCAUGGGUUCUGGAUUUCAAUCCUGUUCUGUUGUUUCCAAAUCUCAUUAAGAACGUUCAGUACACGUUUCGAAGCAUUGACAACGGAUUUCCGAAGCAUAUAGUGAGAAAUGUAUCGGAUAAUCGGGUGGUGAUUGAGACGGACGUUGCGGUGGUGGGAAGCGUGUUUGCGAGGGUGGAUCAGGGGACGAGUUAGUUUAGACAAAGAAUGGUUAAAAAAGAAAAAGAAAAAGAAAAGUUAAUAAAUUAGAUUUUAUGAAUGAAAUAAAUUAUGAUUGAAUUUGACCACAGAAAGUGUAAGUAAGUAGAGUGAUUGGUAGUUUCAAAAUUGGGUGGAAGGAUGGAAAAGAAGGCAAUGUGAAAUGUUGGCUUUGUUCUCUGCUUUCGCAAAUGUUUUGUCAAGUCUGGAAGAACGAUAAAAACAAGACUUGCUUUUUCGUCUCGAACCAACUCAUCUUCUCUUUUUCCCUUUCUUUUUUUAACCCACGCCUGACGCCAACAUCACACACUCAAAUAAUAAUCAAUCAAGGCCGAGGCCAGCACCUUGGGCCGCUCAGCCCAAUUUCCUCUCUUCUUUUGGUCUCUUCCUUCUCGAGAGAGCCCGUUUCAUCACUCGAUGAUUCUUUGUAAGAAUGGUCCAUGACAAUCAAAAUAGAGGCACGUGGAAAAUUGAUUAAACUCUUGGGUGCUAAGAUGAAAGAAAGUGAGGGGACAAUGAGACUGUCUUUUCUCUUUAUAGUGCACAAACAAAAGACAACAAAGAGGUUGAUUCAUUUUUCGAAUAACCCCACUACCCCAUCACAUUCUCCCCCUCCCUCUUGCAUUCAACCCACCUAUCUCUCUGUCCACAAAUAUCUAAUUUUGAUCCUAUGCCCUUCUUCAAAUCUUAUGUUUCUUCAUCUUAACUUGUUUUGUAUGAGACUGUGUUUAUAUUGCUUUCUUCUCACCCAUUUCACCUAGUGGAGAAUGCUUGCUUCUUCGUUCAUGGAGCCCUCACCUUCUCCUUCCCUUAAUCCAUCCCCAAGCGUGUCUAUCACGGACCCUCACGAGCAUGUACUAGGUGGCAACUUCAACCUCAUUGUUCUCGUCGUUGCAAUUGUUUGCGCCGUUGUUUGCACGCUUGGUCUAAAUACCAUGCUGAUAUGUAUACUUCAAUGUGCGAAUCACUCUCUUAGACAAACAGUCCAAUGGGUGGCUUUAAGGGGACUGAACUCAGGCAUGAAGAAGCAAGACAUGGUUGCCCUCCCAACUUCAACUUACACCAACUCUGGAUCACCGAUUUCGCCUUCAUCUACUUCAGCCUGUGCUAUCUGCCUCAUCGACUUCUCAAACGGGGAUAAAGUACGAGUGCUGCCGAACUGUGCUCAUAGGUAUCAUGUCAGUUGCAUUGAUAAAUGGUUGCUGUCUCACUCUUCUUGCCCCACCUGCAGGCAUCAGCUCAAGUCCAAGGACUCUAUAGAUCACAUUGUGUAAUAAUGUCAAGUAAAAUUGAACAAGUGAAGAAGCAGUAGACUUAAAGUGAAUCAGGUAAGAAAUAAAAAUGAUUCCAAGAGUUGAGAUUGAUUGAUAAAAUUAGUUGAAGUGAGUAAGCAAUAAAACUAGAUUUUGGUGUUUCCUAUGCUUUUGAUUAUCUUCUUUUGAGUUGAAGAUAGAACUCUAUUGAUCAAGGCUAUAAAACUAGGUAACUGUAUAGAGUCGACACAUCCAUCGAUCAAGCUUCAAAAGCUAAAUAAAAGCUACUUUAGAAUUGUCUCCCUUUUGAGAAGAUAGAACAAAGCACUUUGAGUGGUUGGACUGUGACCCGUCUAGAAGUGGAAGAUACAGGAGAAUCAAUAUAUUAUUCUCCUUGAAGACACCUCCAUGGUUUCAAAAAAAUCAAGUCCUAAGUAGAAAAUUUAAAUCUGUUUUACAACUCCUUGAAUUUGAAAAUUUAUUUAUUUUUGUUCCAAUUGUUUACUCAAAUUGCAAACACCAAAAUUUUAAAAAUGACCUUUUCAGUUUUCAAAAGUUGGCUAAUUUAGCUAGGUUUUCAAAACAUAACCAUGCAAGAAAUGAGCUUAAUUUUUUAAAAAUUGAAACUUAAGAAGUAAAGUGUUUUUUACUGUGGAAGUAGAUCAUGCGUAUAAGAUAUGAAACCCGCUGAGUGCAAGUCAAGAAAUUAAAAUCUGAUUGCAAAGACAAUAAGGAACUUUAAAUUUGGAAACUGAUUAUUGGAUAAGGAAUUUUUCUUUAAAAAAAAAGGACUUGUAAAGGUAAUUACGAAUUUCCGCAUUCGCCACAAUCUGAAUUGCAACGCUACAAAAAGCAAUACGCACUGGGAGAUGCAGUCAAGUGUCCUAAACAGUGUAUUUACAAAUACAGAUAUUUUGUUCCUGUUACAAAAUACAAGAGAAGAGUUUCACAAUCUUAUCAGCAUCUAACGCUUGGAACUACGAAGAUAGAUGUAAUGAAUCCAUCUCAGCAAACACUUCAGCACUCAUUGAUUCUUUGAAAUUGAUCUAAAUCUCCUUGGGCAUAACUGUCAUUAACUGUCAAGCCAUCUCUUUCCUAUAUAAAUAUUUUGCUUCUCAGAAAAAGGAAGAUCAAUACCAACAAUCUGCCACAUCUUCUUGAUCCACGUUAGCCCGCUCAUUAGGCCGCUCUUUUGGGGGUCCAGAGGCUCUUGGAUAUCCUCCAAAGGAACCACUACCAGGUGUUGCAAUUUCCACAUAGAUCAUCCUUCCAUCAAAUAUCUGUCUCCCAGAAGAAACAACAUUAACUUUCAAGCAUGAUUUACCUUAUCUACAAAAGACAAAGCUAGGUGAAGUUUUUAACCUUGCAAUCCAUAGUUUCCAGAGCGAGCAUCGCAUCGUCUUGGCACGUGUAUUGAAUAAACGCGUAACCUUUUGGUCUUUUUGUUGAUCGAUCUUUUGCUAAUAACACUGCCAUGGGUUGAUAAGUGAAGCAACAAGAUUAAAAGGCUUAUUGGACUUGGUUGGAGAUUAGCCAACAAAAAAUGCAAUUACCUUCAGCAAUCUCACCAAAAUUCGAGAAUUCUUCUUGCAGUCGACUCUCAUUGGUGGAGUAUGGUAAAUCUGCAUAUAGUUUUUUAAUUAAUGGAAGCAGAGUUUGAGCAUUCAAAGGUGCUCAAGAAAAAGUAUUCCAUUGAUUUGAUAUUGCAAUAACCUCCUAUACAAGGCUUCUUAAAAUCUAGACAACUUCACAAGACAUCAAAAAAAAAAAAAAGCGAGAACAAGAAUAUAGCAGAAGAAAAUUCAUGAAGAAAAAGUUGCAUUCGGAAGGCAUAUGAAUUACAAGUGAACAAUGACCUCUUAAACUUCUCUCACAAAUUAUUGAAAAUCUGCUUUCCAAAAAUAAUAAAAAUAUUUUCAAUUAGUUUACUUCAGAAGACAGUUUGCAAAGGUUCUUUUGCUAUUGUAUUUGUUUUCUGUUGACUUUUUACUUUGACUAAUAUUAAGUUACACCAUGCUUAAACAGAACUCUGCACUCUAAAUAAAUUAUCAGUGUAAUGAAAACAGGAAAAGAUGAAAAUAAAAAUAGCUAACAGAUAGAAAACAGGGCAAUGCUACUUUGUUUCUUCUCUUCUCACCUGUCCUGAAUCAAUUAAAAUAAGUGAAGAACGUCACCAAUAGUUUUCCAUGAAAACCUCAAUAUGGAUAAGUACACUCCAAAUGUGACGAUGGUUGGGUUGGAUAGUUGGGUCAGGGUGAAAGUCAUUCAUAUUGCAGGAAAACACAUAACAACAAAAAAUGAGGAAAGGAAGUUGACUGGAAACUCCAAAAAAAGGCUAAUGGGAAGGUCUGGAUAAUUUUCAUAGAUAUACACCAAGAGCCACAGUUCACCUUAACUUUUUUUUUUUUUUCACUUCAAAUAAAUUAUUAAUCCUUUAUGUCCGUAUUCUUAAAAGUAAGGAGAAAAAGAGCUGUGUCGAAACUCACAUAAUUAUCAAUACAUGAGUUCCCGUACUCCAUAAAUGCUUUAUUAUCCACUCCACAUCACUUGCAUUAAGCAUCAUUAUCAUUAUGUUAGUGGACAUCUAAGGUGUCAACAUUAUUAUGCUUUUACUUCCUAAUCCCAUUUUCAGGAAUCAAAUUGGACCAAAUUGAUAUGUGUCACCUUAAUGGAAAGUAUAAUAAUUUUUUUUUUAAAAAAAACUAUCCUUCUAGCUUCUAAAUCUAUUUAACUAAAAGUUCAGUGAGCCAAAUAAGCCAUAAAAUAUGCUAAGAAUCUAAAGGCAUUAAAAUUUCCAUUAGCAAGAUAAUCAAGUCUGUAUCUCUAGUCACCUACACACAGAAAAUGUAAGAAAAGUUUCAAUCUAAAUCAAUUCAACAAAAGAUUUUAUUUUAACAUUGUCACCAGGUUUUGUUUUAACAUUGUCCCCAAUUUAUAUACAGUUCAUUUUUCUUUUAAACAGGCGCAUGGUCGAAGUCCUGGGCUUCUCUCACUGCUAGGUAGUUUACAGUUUCAUAAACAAUUUCACUUACUGAUUGGUUCAUUAAUUUAGAUUCAAGAACUUUCUUGGAGUUUUCCCUUUCUUGGGGAGGGGGAUAAUUUAUCACCCCCACCUUUUUACGUGUAGGGUCAAUUUCUUUCUUACAACUCCAUAAACAAUACUUAACAAACUUGGGAAAUUUUCAAUUCAAUGGCAAUGAAUAUCUAACUUUCUAGGUUGUUUACAAUGAACGCUGCAGAACUUUCAUGGUGCCUUCUAUGCUUCCGUACAAAUUUCAUCAUUGCUAAUAAUAAACAAACCAAACUGAGACAACGGCGUAAACUUUCAGCAGAAGAAAGCCUUGAAAAAUAAACCAAAACCACAAAAAUAGCAUAAAUAACAACAAUAGGGCAAAAUCAAGAAGAAUCAAGAUAGCAACCAAAAAAGCUAAAAUAAAAGGAAAGGAACAGGAAAACCCUAAGAGGAGAAACAGAAAAACUGAAAUAACAGCAAAUACGACAAAUUGGGGGGAAAUUCGAAAUGGGAAAUCAAGAAAAUCACAUGAAACGAAAGGAAGAGGGAAGUGAAUUUACUUCUAACCAUGAGUCUACUGGCAAGAGGAUAAUCAAAGAAAGAAGCUCGAAGAUUCAGAGAUAUGCGAUUGGAAGCGACAAGUCGAUUAUUCGGAAAAAUGGGUCCCCGAAGAUUUGAAACUGAAGGGAAGGAGACGGUGGUCGCCCACAUAUUGGCGCUCAAAUCUGCUCAGUCCACGCCCUGGAGCUUCGUUCGUUCGAUCGAUCGCACCUCAAAACCCGAAUUCGCGGCUUCUUAUUUUCAUAACACCGAACAGUUUUAAUUUUGGGAAAAACUACUUCUGCUUUUGGUUCCUAAAUUUUAAAAAUAUACAUUUUUAAUCUUAAUAGAUUAAAUUAUACAACUAUCUCAAAAUUUCUCACUAAUAUUGUAUAAUUUUAACUUAACUUAAAACAGUAGUCAUUUGAUGCAUGUUAUAAAUUAUUGGUUAUAGAAGGAGAUUCUCGUGUUGAUAAGAUACGAAAAAAAUAAAAAACUAAAGAAAUAGACGUUAGUGACAAUAACCUAAAUGAUUUUGGUUUGGCCUAAGUGGUAGGGGUAGUAAUAAGUAAUGUAAGCCGUAAGGGGUAGAUAUGUAGUGUAGGAGCCAAAGUAGCUCAAUCUCACCCCAUCAUCCUUCAAAAUUAUCAUCAUUAUGCCUCAUAAAUGUGAAUUUAUUUUAUAUUAAAUAACAUUUAUUAACCUAUAAAACUAUAACAUUCUAAAUCAACUCAUCCUUAGAUAUAAAUAUUUUCACUCAUGUCAACAACACAAACUAAUAUACAUAAAUAUUUUGUGUGUUUUAAUUUACACGUCAAAUUGAAAAUAUAUAUAUAUAUAUAUAUUUCAAAUAAGGUUGGUAGUCAUAUGCUAAAAAUUACUAUACAAUACAUUUUAUCUUCAAACAUAUGAUAUUUUUAAAUAAUUGAUUCACUCAAAUAAAGAUUAUGUACUCUUUAGCCUAUCUUCCUAGGUUAUGGCAGCAAAAACACUUAUGAUUUAUAAAUAAAUUAAUUUAAGUUACGAUCGUCAUUUGUACUAUAUAUAUAUAUAUGCGUCAUUGUGAUUCUAACAUAAUCAUAUCUUAUAUACAGUGGCUAAAAUCAAUUUCUCAAUAGGAAAAAAGAAAAAGAAAACUAAAAUGGAUAUGUAGAGCCAAAAAUUGAGAUAAUGUUAGAAAAAGGUUUUGGUAUUCAAAGGGUUGACUGAAAAUCAAACAAAAUUAGUUUACCAUUGACUGAGACAAAAUGAAUUUAUUAUAGAAAAAGAGAAUGGAGAAAAUGGCCCUUCAUUCUUUCUUAUCAGUAUGUCCUCUUCAUUUCAUCACUCCAUUCAAGUCAAACACUUAGACACCACAUGACUCCUUUAAUAGUGUGUUGCUGCAAGCAAUACUCUUAAAUUAAUAUUAUCAAUUCAUAUCACUGUUGGAAUCUACUGAGUUUGUUAUUUGUAAUUUGUAUUCAACAUAACAUGUGUAAUUAAUGUUUACGAUUAUGAUAGAAAGAUUCAAAGACGUAACAAUAUUUGAUAAUAUUGUUUUCACUUAGCUAACAUAUUAUUAGUAUAGUAAGUAUAAGGGUUGGGUUAUUAAAAAUAGUGUAAUUAAUUUAUUAUUGUUGUGUUUUUUUUGUCUCUAUUAAUUAAACAGUGAUGCAGUUAGUUUAUUGUUGCUGGUUCCAUGUAUGUCUGUUGAAGUUAAAAAGAACCAUUACAAAUAGUAUUUUAAGCUUUAAACAUUGGUUAAAAUGUUAGAGGAGAAAAGAGAGAAGAUAAAUAUGGAGGGAGAGAAAAGUGUAGAAAAUAAUGGUAUAGAAGAAAGUAUUUUACAUUGUACAAUAAAAUCCUACCUGAUUAAAUCAGGAAUUAGUUGUGAAAUUGGGGUCAAAGACCUCAUAAAUGAUAUAUUUGAUUUAAUGGUUUUUUGGAAGACUUCAACAAACCUGCACCAAGAAUAAUGUUCACAUUGCAAGUAAAGCAAAAACUAAUUAACUUCCAAUUUUCAUUUGAGAAUUAAAUAAUCUAUUCACUAAUCUGAUGUAUUACAAAAUUGACAGAAAAAACAAACAAAAGAGAUGAUUAAAUAAAAUAAAAUAAAAUAAAUUUGGACAAAGAGCAUGCAGCUACAUACUGUUUGAUUAGCAUUUGAAGUAGUAGCUAGUGUUGUUCAUGUUCAUAUUAUUACAACAAAUUGCAUUUUAAUUAAUUUAAUUAUGAGAUUAAUUAAUCUUAUCUGUUCAAUGGAAGUAUCCACCGCCGUAAUUCCCAUUCCCACUUGAAGAACAAAACUCCAUCCCCAAUUCCUGCAGAUCGUAACUCAAAUCCUCGUCAAUCAGAUUUUGAAUUUCCAUCAAUUGAUCCGCCGCCCCCGCCACUGAAAACCCAUUACUUUCCACCGGGACAGGGAACCGGUGCUCCGGCGUCGCCUGCUGUCGGCGCUGAAGAAGGCCGCCGUCGGAGAACGGGAGCAUAACAGAAGGGUGGUUGUUAUGAAGGUGAUCAUCUCCACCCUGGCCGAAGCUAAGGUUGACCGGACCCUUAUGGCUGCCCAAAGGCAUGGAGGCACCGGCGGCAUGAAACCCAGUGAACUGCUGCACCAAGUCCCUGAAGUUGGAGGUGCUGGCGUUGAGGAGAGUUGUCGGGGCUUUCCGGGAAGCCCGGGAUCGGCGCCGGGGCUUGGAAAUGGAGUUGGAGUUGUUAGUGUUGGGGCCGUGGUGGGCGACGGCGGAAGAGGUGGAGACACCACCGUGGGAGUGGUGGCCGUAGAACUGGGUGGCCCAUUGAUCGCUGGUGAUAGACAUAUGUGUAAGUAAGUAAUUAAAUUAAGAAGUUAAAAAUGGAGGAGAGAGCGAAUAGUGUUGUGGUGAUGGGAGG
Molecule: long non-coding RNA, 79888 nt
Filed under: Cucumis sativus (cucumber)
Lineage: Eukaryota; Viridiplantae; Streptophyta; Magnoliopsida; Cucurbitales; Cucurbitaceae
Description: long non-coding RNA (CSAT_LNC002567)
Rfam family: tRNA (bases 4108-4179)
Source: RNAcentral